RNAcentral lists this long non-coding RNA (83718 nucleotides) under Cucumis sativus (cucumber). Its description in RNAcentral is "long non-coding RNA (CSAT_LNC002698)". The record is from RNAcentral. Lineage: Eukaryota; Viridiplantae; Streptophyta; Magnoliopsida; Cucurbitales; Cucurbitaceae.
AAAAAAAAAAAAAAAAAAAGUUGAACUACGUUAUGACUUGAUCCCUAUAUUAUAAAGGGUACGUAGGCAGCUUAAGGAAAACCUUAAGCCCAGUCCAGCAAAAAAAAAGUUGAACUACGUUAUGACUUGAUCCCUAUAUUAUAAAGGGUACGUAGGCAGCUUAAGGAAAACCUUAAGCCCAGUCCAGCAAAAAAAGUUGAACUACGUUACGACUUGAUCCCUAUAUUAUAAAGGGUAUGUAGGCAGCUUAAAGGAAACUUUAAGUUCAGUCCAGUAAAAAAAAGGAAGAAAGACAAAUUACAUUUAAUAGAAAAUAUGAUGAGGAGUGGAACAAUGAAAGAAUAAAUUUUUUUUAUUUAUUAUAAACUUCUAGCAAAAAAAAAAAUUAAAAAGGCAUAAGUAGAUAAAUAAGAGAAAGCAGAGAAUCAUGGAGUCCAUUUAAAGUUCUUCAGCUCCUCUAGUGUGCUUUCUAAAGAUUCACGAAGUGUUGAUAGCAUUUUAGCAUCAAUAUCUCCAACGAUCGGGGCACAUUCGAGUUUGUCAAUUUCCUCACAAGUCUUCGAAAUCUCAUGUUGCUUCUGCUUCAGCUCCAGGUCGUUCUUAAAAAUUAUUCCAGAAAGUUUAGCAGACUCAGCCCGCACCAUCUUUAGUUUUGCCUCUAGUUUAGCCUCCUUGGCGGACAGUCGUGUAAGACGACGUUUAGCAGUGUUGGUCUCUGCCAAUAUACGAUUCUCAUCAACUCGCAGAGUCUUCACAAAACCUUUUGCCUCCGUUAGCUGAACAUCCUUAGUUGAUUGGAGUAGAAAUGAGGAAUGUAUUUGAUUAUGGUUCUCGACACCUUGGAAGUAACCAUUCACAAGCUCCCUCAAAACAAUAAGGUUGUCGCUGCCGCUAGUCGCAAUCGCAUCAAAGAUCUUAUGCAUUUCUGGUUCAAGACUACUCAGUCGUUCAAAAGGGGUACGAAUGAUCUUCUGUCGUAGGUUUUCCCAUAAGGUUAUGGCAGCCUGUCGUCGGAGGUCAGAAAUUAAGCUGUCAGCACAAAAAUGAGAAAUCUCAGAAACUGUAAUAGGCUCCGUGCCUUCCACUUUUUGAGGAGGUCCCUUGAUCACAGGAGGACAAGCAGACACAAUAUUUGCGCCUAUAGGUUCCUUAGAGUUCCCAUUAUAAGAAAGUACAACGUUACAGUCUUCUAGAUUCGGCAUCGACUCUAGGGUAUCUUCGAUGUGUAGGUCGUGAUCACCUAAAGAAGACUGCAAAAUAAUAUUAACAACAAGAAAUAAGAGAGUAAAGGAGAGAAAAUACAAUAAAUAAAUAAAUAAAAAGGGAGACGAAAAGAAACCAUGGGGGAAGGGACAUCGAAGAAUUGUGCAGCAUCAGGGACCCGAAUAGGAGACUCUUCAUCAUCGAUCGACUGUUUGUUGGCUUCUUGGUCUCUUCCAAUGGCGAUCAUCAUGCUGCUUUGACUGUCCUCAAUACGUUUAGAAGGAUGCUUGGUAGCUAUGAUAAGCUGGUUGUCCUUACCCACAUUGUCAAUACACCUUUAAUAAGAUGUUUAAAUCGUGUUAGAAAAGAGACAAUUAUCCACCAAGCGUUUUGUCCCUCCCUCAAUUUUCUCCACAAGUCGUUCAUCAGUUUCAUCGAGCAUAUCUUCUGAUUUCCACUACCAAAAUUAUGUUCAAUCUUUUUUGUGGUUUUGGAUUUGAUGUGAGGGGGAGUAGGACGAUCUAUCAAAUGUUGUACUCCUUCUUGGAGGUAAUCACCGUGUUUUUGCAAGCCACCGACCUUAUAAUGAGAGGUAACAUGUGUGUCUGGAUUAGGGGCGACACAGGAAGAUAUACUUGGGAAAGUGUAUUCUCGCGAAUACAAAUCAUCCAACAAUAUCGUACGUUAAAAAAAUUGGCUCGGGAAUUUCUUCACCUAAGUCAUAUGCACGUCUUGAUAAAAUCCAAAUUGUCGGCUAAAGCGACAAGGACUAUAAGGCUCAAUGUGGAGGAUCCACAUUGCGAGGAUAGAAAACAAGAGCGAAUGCUUAUGAAAAAUGAAGCAUUCCAACUAAUUAACUCUCCAUCAUCCGUUAAGAGUUCGUCCUUAUUCUUUGUUGGAAGACACGCAUGCCAUGACACAUACUUUUCCCUUGUGGAUAUGUGUUCGAGCCUCAAGAUUAGUAUAAUAUUUGGCCCCACCUUCACCAGAAAAUUCAACCAUGCGAGGACCCCUAAGACUCCUAGGGCUUUAUAAUGAGUGUUGAAGUAAAGAGCAAGCCACCCAUGGACAUAGUGAAGAGGAAAACAGGCAUUUGAAUAACCAAGUGAUGAAGUAGAAUCAUGAACUUGGCGUAGGCCACUAUAAUAUUAGCUAAAACAGGGACAACAAGGCUAAAUGUGUAGCCUUCCGCAUGAGGCUAGCAACCUUAAAAACCUCUGACGAAGGGAAAGUUGCUUAUCAGGGAACACAAAACACAUAGCCAACAAGAGAGAAUGCCGCUAGAUAGGUUUUGUCCCUAUGAUCAUCACGUGACGCUUAAGUCAAGGAACACUUUGAGUUCAGCUUUAGACCAGUCAGGACGUCUGAUGGGAAUUCCAUCUGGAUUAUGAGUUGAGCGAGGGCGAGAAGUCUUUUUAGGCUUUCGAGGAGCGGUUUCAAUACUUUACCUCAGAUCGUGUAACCCAAAAAGAGAUCCAUUCACUUACAGUGAUUUGAGAGUGAUCCAUGCGUUGAGAAAAGCUAAUAGGCUAAAAUAAAUGCUCACAACUUCUUGGACAUACAUCAGGUGAUCCUAUUAAGUCUUUGGCAAGGAAUGCUUUCUUCAUAAAAUCUACCUUUAAUCGGGAGUCCUCCUAGUAUCCAUAAGUCCAUAAGGAGAUGGACAUCUCACCAGCUGAGGUGUGAAGAGUGUUUGUUGAAGGACACCAUGCCUCGCAGAAAGCCCGAUCAAUGUCACUGUUGCGAUCAUAUGUAUAUAGGGAAGCCAUCACAGCAUUAAAUAGGGAGGCUCGCUUGAGUACUGCCGUAUUUCUAGCAACAACGAGCUCUAACCACUCCCAAUAAUGAGGAAGAUUGUAAAAUUCUCCAUGUACCUUGAGCACAUUUCCCCAACGAAUUUUUGGGUCGUUUAUAAUUCGACGACCCAACGUUGAUUCUGGAUCCUCAUUUGGAGGCUUGUUGUGAAUCGAAGACUCCAGAAACCAAGAUUUUAAAGAUGAAUUGGGAUUUACAAACCGUUCCUUGGACCAUUUAGGCAAAAAGAUAAAAUUGUCCUCGGGUAUUUGGGAGUCCAUAUAUUCUCAUAUGUCCCCUCUCUCACAGGAAGAAUGAUCCCUUCCUCUAAAGAUUGAUCUACGUCUUUCAGGAUAAUUAAACACCUUUUGGUCAGUCAGAAUACUCAGUGAAGUGCACCAUGAUGAAAAGUAGAGUUCCUGCAAAUAUAAUAAUAAUAAUAAUAAGAAUAGAAAAAAACCAAAACAAAAAAAAACAAAAGAAAAGAAAAAAAAGAAAGAAAGAAGAAAAAAAAGGGGGGGGGGGAAGAAAAAAAUGAAGAUUGAAGCCCGACGAUGACAAGAAUCGAUCUCUCCUACUAGGGCGAUAGAUCUGACGGCAAAAGCCGAUCGUCCCUAGAAGAAGCUCAACAAAGUCAUUUGCAAACGAAGAUCGAAGCCCGACGAUGACAGAGUCGAUCUCUCCUACUAGGGCGAUAGAUCUGACGGCAAAAGCCCGAUCGUCCCUAGAAGAAGCUCAACAAAGUCAUUUCUGCAAACGAAGAUCGAAGCCCGACGAUGACAGAGUCGAUCUCUCCUACUAGGGCGAUAGAUCUGACGGCAAAAGCCCGAUCGUCCCUAGAAGAAGCUCAACAAAGUCAUUUCUGCAAACGAAGAUCGAAGCCGACGAUGACAGAGUCGAUCUCUCCUACUAGGGCGAUAGAUCUGACGACAAAAGCCGAUCGUCCCUAGAAGAAGCUCAAAAGUCAUUCCUGCAAAAAAAAAAAAAAAAAAACAAAAAAAACAAAACAACACAAAAAAAACAAAACAAAACAAAACAGAAUUAAAAAAAGCAAAACAAAAAAAAAACACACACACAAAAAAAGAGAAAAAAGAGAAAGGGAGAAGAAAAGUUUUCUAUACCUUUCUGCUGAUUGGAUGAGGUAUAAGUGAGUAGGGUGUGAGUCUAUUUAUAAGUCCAACAAAUCCAAUUUUUAAAAGGAUUAGGAAUGAUAUUUAAUUAUUUUUUUUAAAAAAAAAACAAAUCCAAUUCCUAAAAGGAAUAGGAUUGAUUUUAAAUAUAUAUAUAUAUAUAUAAAGAAAAGAUAAUCCAAUUAUCUUAUUUUAUUUUAAAUUAUUUCUUUUUUUUUUGUUGGAUAAAUCUCAAGUUUAACUUUUAUUGAGAUAUUUAAAAUAUUUAAAAAUUUCAACAUUUAAAAAUAUAUAUAUAUAGAUAAAUAUUCUCAAUUUCAAAAUUCAAGUUAAAUUAACUUGCAUAUAUGACCUCAUUUUUAUCAUGAAUUUAAAUCGGAGCAUAAAUCCAACUUUACCUAAGAUUGAGGACCUGAUUUUUUAUCUCAAAUUAAAAUUGGUCAUUCCAAAUUCUUAUGCAUCCCCAAGAUAAAUUAAGGUACGGUAGAAACUUUAUCCUUAUUUCAAAAUUAAAAUUUUGGUUAUAUUCCAAAUUUUACUUAAAAAAAAUCAUCAUAUUAAAAAUUUUUUUUAUCCUCAAAUAAAAUUAAGUUAGGAAUAAAACUUUGAAUUUUUUUAAGGUUUGGCCAUAUUCCAACCCUUAUUUUAAAUUGAAAUCAAACUCACGUACUAAAUUCAAGUUUGAUUAAUUUGAUAUAUUGAAUUGAGUAAAAAAAAAAAAAAAAAAGAAGCUCGUACUUUGACUUCAAAUUUAUCUUUUCGAGAUUCAUUCACCCAUAUACGUGCAUAAAUCUCGAAAAGGGGGCAUUUGUUGAAUAAGAAAUUUUGAGACUAAUCACUAGUUGCCAUAUCAUUUAUUAAGUUAAUGAUGAAAAGUACAAAUAAUUAAAUUUGGGACUAAUUAAAAUUGACAUAUGCUCCAAAUUAAAGAGUUGAAAAUAAAUAAAAUGGUCAUUCUAAUAAUGCCACAUGUUUUCAUAUUAAUAGUUGGAUUAAGUUAAUCAUUUUAGUUCAAUUAAAUAUUAUUUACUUGGACUAAGUUCAAUUAAGCCCAAAAAAUAAGCUUAAUUGAACCCAAAGACUAAAUAUAACCUAAGUCCAUAUGGUUGAGCCCAUGGGUCUGGUCCAUGGACCAACCAGGUUCAAACCCAUAAAGCCCACCAGUGAAAUCUAUAAAUAGAGGAAUUCUCCUCAUUUGUAGGGGUUGGAAAUUUUGACUCUAGAAGAUCCAGAGAGAAUUCUUCAAAGAGCUAGAAGACUCCCUAACUCCUGAAGUCGACCAUCCUCGAAGAUUGAAGCUUCUUUAAAGAUACAAGCUUUCUUCAAGGCUUCAACUUCAAGAACAUCACGUGCUUCGCUUCCUCAAAUCAAGCUGAAGCAUCCAGUUGAGAGAGAAUCAGAGGAUCAAAUUCUAGAGAUUGAACCGCAUCGCAUCAAAUCAACAAAAUACAACAUCAAACUCAAGUUCAAGUCCACGAAUUAAAUUCUCCGAAAAUCUCGUGCGAACACAUAUAUUUCUAAAUAAAUUUAUUCGACGAAAGUGGCUAGAUUGGUGGGUUCGACGGCGAAGGCUUGUUGUGGCAGCAACGACAACAGUGGUUGGAGUGUGGAAUCGACGACGACAAGUGGCAAAAAAUUGGAAGGCAAGGGUUCUUCAUAACGACUCGGUAGCCCACUUCGUUCGACGAGAUUUUUUUGCAUUUUUGGUAGAGUGAGAAAAAAUUGCAUUAAGACUUCAUUCGACGACAUCGUUUUUGCUUAAGAGAAAAUUUGAUGUUUUUACUUAGUUGUAAUUGCGUGAGAGAGGGAAAUUAAAAAAUUUUGAAAUUUGAGGUUUUUUCAUUUGAAAUUUUUUUUAAUGACAAAAAAAUUGUCGUUAAUUAAUGACCCAAAAAUUGUGUGAAAUAAAUUAAAUUGUGUCAAUAGAAUUGUUUUAAGAAAUAAUCCAUAUUUUUAUUUUCAACAACACAUGUACCUCAUCCACCUCUUUUUUCUUUUAUUUUCAACGACACAAUGUCUUGAUUAAAAUCCAUUUUUCUAGUGACAAAUGUAUCCAUACCAAAGUGGGAAGCAGCUAAGGGGACGAAGGUAUAUUCGGAGAGAGAUUGUUAAACAAUUGUAAAAAGUAAGCCCAAGAAGAGAGGUCCAAUAAAAUUCAGCCACCUCUCACAUAGUAAUUGAAAUAGUCUAGCAAUUUCAACCAUUUCCCUCACAGAGAAGAAGAAGACCAUAGCCACUCGAGGCUUUUGCACAUACAAACACCAAGAAGAUGGUGUCCGGUUCCGUACCUGUGCUAAGCGCGUCGUUGUUGACAUAAAGUUUCUAUAUACAAAGCUAUGUAUCUCUACCCUUGACUUCUCUUUCUCUCUUUCUACCUUUUUUAUCCUUUCUUUCUCCCAUUCACUCAAUACACUUGCAAGAACCUUCAUUUUUUUUGUAUUUAAAUUUUCUUGGCACCAUCCUUUUUUAAUUAUCAAGGCUUUGUUAUUGUGUACCUGUAUUGUGUCGUGCCUCCUUCACUUCUCAUCAUCAUUUUCAUGUCACAUCUCUACCUUGUCAAUUUUCGUUUUUCACUCAGCUUUCUUUCUUCAUUUGUCUUCACUACUCUCUUCGCUCCUUCUUCUCAAGCUCUAACUUUUGCUAUUAUUAACCAGUCUCAAAUGACCAUUGGAAAACCUAUAGCCCACUGAGAGGCAGCCAAUAUAGUAAUGCCUCUAAUGAUAAACUCCAAUGAAAUCAAAAGUUCUUCUUUGAGAUUUGGAAAAAUAUAUUAGAUAAAGCAUAAUUAGUUGAAAAAGAACCUUAAAAUUUUGUGUUAAACGACUACAAUUUCAUCGUAGAAUAUGCCAUAUUGACAGCAUAUUUUUCCUACAAAAACAUAUUAACUAAAAUAAGCUCAUAAACACGAAAAUGCACUAAGUGUUGGUUAACAUACACUACCUUGAAAUAUGAUGAAGACUUUAUUUCUCCCAACCAGACAGCAUAAUCAGGAGGUAGUUUGGGAGCAAACAGAAUUGACUUAAUUUCCACUAGCAAUAUCCUAUAAAAAUUUCAAAUUCUUGAAAUAUGGAAACCAAUGGAAGUUUUAGGGAAUGAAGUAUAACCUCUAAAUACAGAAGGACGACAUAAAGGGGAAUGAAGACUCGAAAGAAGGACGACGUUUUCGUAGAGAAGGACGACAAUUUUGAGGGACAACGGACACGAUUUCAGAGUAUUAGGGAUGGUAGAUGGCGAAAGUCUUAGGGAUCUCGUACUCAGUGGAUGGUGAACGACUGAAAGCGAAGGACCUAGUACGCAUUUUUGGAGAGGGCGUGUGAACGCGGAUGGACGGACGGUGAACACGGCAGAAGUGAGAGAUCCUCAUAGAGAACUUGGCAUUUUCGAAUGCGGUAGAGACAAGUCUAGGGCUUCGAAGGAUUCAACCCAAUAUUUUCUUUAUAUAUAUAUAUAUAUAUAUAAUAUAUAUUUAAUAACACUUGACGUUUUUAAAACGUAAAGAAAAACGAUUUUACUUGACGUCUAAAAAACAUCAAGAAAUUUAAAAAAUAACUCUUCUCCGGCUUUUUAUAAAAAUUCUUGACGUUUUAAAACAUAAAGAAUUUUUAAGAUAUUUCUUGACGUUUUUAAAAUGUCAAGUAAAAGUACAUAUUACUUGACGUUUGAAAAUUUUGAAGAAUGUUGAAUAUAUAAACAUUCUUGACGUUUUUAAAACGUCAAGAAAAAAUACAUAUUAGUUGAUGUUUAAUAAACGUCAAGAAAUCUGAAAAUUGACCUACCCUCGCCUUUUCUAAAAAUUCUUGACGUUUUAUCUUUGGAACUACCCCUUUCUUGACGUUUUUUGAAAAAAAAUGUCAAGAAAGAAAAACAACAAACGUCAAGAAAGGCCUUUUUUGUAGUAAUGACAUACAAUAUAUAUAUAUACAUAAAUAAAUAAAUAAAUAUAUAUAUAUAUAUAAUGAAUUAAAAUGGUUUUGUUGCUUUACUGUUUUACUCUAUAAAGGAAGAGCAUUAUAAAUAUAUUAUUGAGGAAACAUCUUUCGAAAUGACUGGUUUUGGAAGUGUCAUUAGAUUUUUAGUUAGUUAAGCACAUUUUCCUCCCAAAUAGUAGUCGAAAUACAACUGUUUUUUAAGAAGAAGAAACCGAAUCCUUCAAACUAGGAUAAAAGUCAUUAUCUAUUAACAUAGAGUUAAAGUUACAAGGUUGAAGGCUAGAGGGAAGCCUGAAACAACCUAAUCUAACAAAGCUUAAAGUUAAGAGUUGGUAGUAACAUCAUAUUAGUUACAAGAUGAAUGACGCCUAGACCAAACUUCGAUCAAGUUACAUGUGUCUUCCCACAAGUUAACAAUAAACCUUGAUUUAUCCUUAAAAAUUCUAUUGUUUCUUUCUAUCCAAACAAUCCAAAGUAAGCCAGUUAUGGAGGAGGAAUACACAUUAGAGAGCUCAAUUAUGGAUGGAGGAAUACACAACUUUUUCUCGUGGUCAUUUUCCUCGUGGGCAUUCUCUUCAUGUUUCUUCUUAUUCCGACUAAAAUACAAGCACAAAUUAUUCUUCGCCUUCGUAUAGGUUUGUUUGAAGAAGAUUAAAAAAGUCCUUAAUUUAUCUCGACACUUCCAAAACCAGAAUAUAAUACCCGUGCUACAUAAAUCCCUCUUUCCAAAUAGUCGAACAUGAACUAUCCAUGCAUAUCUUGGAAUAAACAAGAGAAACCCUAACUAAACGCAAAUAGAAAAUACGUUGCAAUCUAAAAUAUAGUUAAAGAAACAAAAAGAAGUUUUAAUGUUGUGGGUUUUUUACUGAUCUUCUUCAACAACAAAAUAACUCAACGCCACAGUUCAAUUUUUCCUUCCACGAAUUGGGUUUUUAAAGAGUUUUCACCGCGAAUAAAUUUUUUUUGGUUCGACAAGUAACAACAUGUGAAUCCCCAAAUGCAAGGUUUUAUUAAAAAUUAAAAAUAUAAUUUUUUAAAAAAAUUAUAAUACCUAAAAAUAUAUUUUUUUUAUAUUUAUAACCUAAUUUUCUGUCAUUGCAUACUUGAGAGAAAUAUAUUUUUCAAUUAGCAUAAUAACCUUUAUAUAGUAAAUUAAAUUUGUAGAAUGAGAAAAGACCUUAGAUCCAAAAAAGUUAUUUAUUUAUUAUUGGAGUGAAUUGUAUAAUUAAUGUAGUUAAUGGAUGGUUUUGUAACCAUAAAAAAAUAAUGAAAAUAAUUUUCUAAAAGAAUGAAUGAAAAUUUGGAAAGUUAAAAGGUUUUAGGAAUUAAAAAAAAGGGUGUAACAUUAUAAAAGACUACCAAAUAUACUGUAAGAGACAUGCAUUAAAGGAGCUGAGUGUCACGUGUGAAAUUUUGACCCCAAAAAUCACCCCCAAAAUUGCGCUAAUUCAUGCCACGACUCCUUCAGCAAGGCCCAGGAGCAGCCCAACGUGGUCCUAAGACAGCCUAAGGGCGACCACGACAUGUGCCUACGGCAUUGGCAUGCACCUCUCGAGGACAGCUCACAAGCCCCGCACGCGUGCCACGACGAGUGCCCAUGACAGCCGAGUGUCAGCCCACGACACAGCCCCAUAGCACGCCAGAUGCCCGUUGACACGGCCAUAGGCGCCCGGCACCAGCGCCCACCAUCGACCCAGCGCGCGCCGUGUCCGCCCAACGUCCAGACGGCCCCAGAACCUCCGAGAAGCUUCCAGAAGAAUCGGGAAGGCGCGCAACACUUCGCGUGGCGCGCACGGCGCGAACCCAACGCGCGCGCCGACGCCCCCAGAUGCUUCCAGAAGGCUCCACACAUGCCCAUGUGUGUGCUGCCCGCCCAUGCUCAGUCUAGACAACCCCAGAAGCCUCUAGAACGUUCGAGACAGUGCCAGAAUGUGCUGGAAUGCGCGGAGGCUCCCGAGAAGGCCCCGGAACGUGCUGGAUGAUGCUGGAACGUGCUGGAACACUCUAGAAGGCUAUAUGACGGUCAGCGAGUGUCAUGAAAGGUCUAGUCCUCUCUAGAAUGUUCUAGGCUUCCUUGUUAUGUACCAAAUGAACUUGUAAUCUCUAGAAUCUCCCUUGGCCGACCUUCUAAGGCCCAAGGUCGGUGGGGAUGGUCUAUAAAUACUUGGGAGGGCCUCAUUUGUAUCAAGCCUUGCAACCUUGCAUCUUGGCAUGUCUUAGCCAAGCAAGGUCACCUUGCCACCCAAAGUCUCCUUGCCCAUGGUAUCCCCAUGACAAGAAGACAGCAUAUUUGUACCCAAAUAUGUAUUCAUCUAUUGUUGGAAUGCAAUGUAUCAUUCCAAAGACGUAUCCAUCCAAACUCCCUCAUCCUUCCAACCUCUCUCAUGUCUUGCAACCAACCUUAGUACUUCCGCUGCAACCGUUGUCGUAGUGCUUGGCACACUACCCCUUCCGGGAAAGGCUUACUUGGCUACGUGGGCAUUGUAGUUAGCCAAGUGCCGCAUGUAUGGUUAGCUUCAAGAUCCUAACCACGUGACAUGAGGCAUGCAUACUACCAAAUAUACUAUAAAUAAACCAUAAUUCUUUUUUAAGAAAUUAAACAACUAAUUAAAUAUAAAGAAGAAAGAUUAGAAAAUGAAUGAUCAAACAAACUAUGACUCAUUUAUUUUUGACAGGUUCGGCCAGUAUCACCUGACAAUUCAUUUUCACCAAGAGAAUAAACAUGAGUAGCCUUGGAAUCAAGUUCCUCCGAUAAAAGCCACGGAGUUGAUGGGUUAGAGACAGAACCAGAAUUUGAGUUCAACGAUGUGGAUGGAAAAUUCUGAAACUAGGAGCAACAGGAAGUUAAGACAACGAAUUAUUUUCAAUAUAGAAAGGCUAAUUGUAAGAAGUUGUUAAUGAAGUGUCCAAAUGCAUUAUGGUAAUAUUGGGUGCAGAAUGUUUGGAAGUUUUAUCCGUGUGCUGUGAAGCACCACAGAGUUGAAGCAUAUGAAACCAGUGUUUAUCUGACAAAAAAUAGUGUCAUGAUCAUUGCCUUUCCAUUCCAUAAAUUUAUGGAUAGCAGAAGAAAGAGAACUCUCAACACUUGAAUCACCAUAUAGCACUCUACAUCCAGGUGGUGCCUUGAUUUUUGAAGAUUUAGUUAAAAGCAGUGAUAAAAUUGGUACAUAAAUUACAGUGCAUUUCUCGAUAUGCAACAACAUUAAGAGCAACUUAAAGACAACAUCAUCAAGAAAUCUAGUAUUUAAAAUGUACAAAGAGCAGUAGUAAACAUAUGUAUUUUAUGGCUGACUUUAUCCAUAAUAAAUGUUGGAUUAAAUCAUCAAAAUAAAACACAAACAGAUAAUUAUCGAGUUUUUCAAUGGAGGAUAGAGAGGAAGACAUGCAUGCACAACUACUAGAUCUAUAUGGUGCCAGACUGCCAGUAAAAAUUUAAAGACACACAUGACAACAUUAUUUUGGAUGAAGUUCUAAUAUUGCAACCAUGGAGGAAAAAUCAGCAAAUCUUAAAUAGAUGUAGUAGUCCAAAUGAUAAAAGUUUGUCUCAAGAUAAUAUUUCAGUAACUGCAGAUGCAUUGUGUUGAACCUAACCUCUUGUGUUUCACGGUAAUGAACAAGGACAAUGUGUUCAAAGGUCCUGAACAAAAAGCAGAAGCAAGUCAUAAAUUAUAUAAGUAGAACACGAUAUACUGCCACUUCUAAUUUCAUUUUUCUUUGCUUGUGGCAUGAUGGGGAUAGACCCCACUGAAACAACUGGUAGCAAGCAAUUUAACAAUUUUCUUUCAACCAUAACAUACUUAUCUAGGAGCCAAUAACACCGGCGAACAAAGGUUGGGCUAUCUAGUCCAUGGGCAUAGUAUACAUGUAUCCUUUCUACAUUACCAACCUGCCGAAGAGAAAGAAAAGAUUAUCAAAGCACACCUUUUCUUGGUUAUUAAGGCUGUAAAAGAAUGAAAAUUACCAUAAAUCUAAACACAGUUAAUAUUAGACCAUUGAACAACCUAUAGAUUCAAAAGGAAAGACUCAAACCACCAAUAGACUGGUUAAUCAUUUAAAAUGAUCUCCAACAACAUGAUACGCAGUAUAUCGUGCUAGAUCCAUAAUUACCACAUGUGGACUCCUAUGGUAAUUUCAUUGAUGAUACGCAGCUAGUAGGCAAGAUUAUGAAAUGAAGACGGUAUGUGAGAAGAUUGAAAAGAUCAACAUGAUAAAAUUAUAGGGAUUUGAAUUUAUAUCUUAAGAACACCAGAGUCAAAUGCUUAAGCUGAUUAACUGUGUUAAAUUUAACUCUAUAAUAUAUUUUAAAUCUGAACAGUCAUUAAACAACUACAUUUUGAAUAAGCUUUAGAGAAUAUUAGCAAAAACAGUAGAAAUUACUUCAAAUUUGUAGAGAGAACAUAUAAAUUAUAUUCUACAGAAACACGAGCCCAUAGCAUGUCUACUGAGUAGCAAUGACAGUGAAAAAGGGAAUAGUAAGUAACUAAUCUCAUAAACCCCUUUCUCACAUCUAACCAAGUUCUUUCAUGACAUGCAAAAGCAUCAAAAUAUUUAAGAAAACUUCCAAUAUUGCAUUUGGAACUCAUUGAUUGACUUCAACGUUUAAGAGUCAUAAAAGACACAACUUACUUUCUCACCUGUCACCACUAAGCCUACGGCAACAUCUUUUUAUAAGAUAUUCAGCUAAUCUUUAGAUUGUUUACCGAAUAAUCGUCUAUUGUUUUGUAAUUGAUCCCACCAAGCGCUUGCGCCACCUUGAAGUUUGAGAGCAACUAAUCGAACCUUCUUGUGUUCGUGGUGUAUUGGCAUAGUCGAAAAAAUUUCUACGUUCUUGAUCCAAUCAAGAAACUUCUCCACGUCCAUUCGACCAUUGAAGGUAGGGAGAUCCACUUUCAUACGUAUUUCUUGAUCUUCUUGAAAGUAUGGUCGAAGUCCAAGCCUUUGUUGAGGUUCUUGAUGAAUGUUCAGCAAGUUGUCUUCAUCGGAAGAGUCAGAAUCAUUUAAGAAAUUUCAGGUACGUUGUUUCCAUACAAUCGAUUAUUGUGGAUGUGAAUAGGUUGAUUUCUUAGUAGUUCUUAGUUUACAACAGGGUUUAUUGGUCUUUCUUGUCUUUCUUGGUUUGCUGCAAUUGGGUUUCUUGGGGCUGAAUUGCUUCUUCUAAAGGUUGGACAUGAAAUCGGGUAAAAAGGUUUGUUAAUUCUACUAACGAUUGCUGUAUAUCUGACUGCCCUUUUCGAAGUUCUUCAAUAGCUUGUUCUACCAACUGCAAGCGUUGGUUGAAGGAGGCUUCCGCGUCCAUGGAUAAGAGUGGUAGGAUCCAAGUUUUUUUAGGGAAGAGUGAGCUAGGAUCACGCUCUGAUACCAAUUGAUUCAGUAAUUGCAAAGCUAGAAAUCUUUAUGUAUAAUGCCUCUUUUUUUUUAUGUCUUAUUAAUGAAAAUGAGAAGCUUUUUUAUAGGCUGGAGAUUAUAAGAGUUGUUAAACUAACUUGGGGUUGAGUUAGUUAACUUGGAGUUGAGUUAGUUAUAACUAACUCAAGAUACAAAAUUGGUAAUUCAAAUAACUAAUCCUAAACUAUAAAAAUGGUAAUUCAAACCCCUCCUCUAGGAUAAAACUCAAGAAACAUCAAGAAGGGAGAUGUUCUACAUCAAAGUGUAGAGAACGAUUCAAAAUCCUUGGUGAAAGAAAUGAAUGUUAACUAAUGUGUGUUUAUGUGAAAUUGUUCAAUGAGUAUGUUAAGGAUAAAGAAAGGUUUAUGCGAGAUAAAAUUAUUUGAUGUUGUUUAUGCGAAAUGAUGUUUAUGAAAAGGUAUUGCGAAAAGGAUUUCAUAAAACCUUAGUCUUUUAGACAUUCUUUCAAAAAUUCAUCUUCCAAGAUGAGGUGUUUAGGCCAAGUAGAGAAGAAGGUUGAAGGAUUUGCAGCGAGAUGACCAGACGUUUUGAAAAUAGUUAAGCAUUGGUUGUUUGGUCAAAGUGUUGUAAUUAUGUAUCAAACACAUGUUAUUAAUAAACAUCUUGGUAGGUAUUUAUUAUACUUGCACGCCUACUCUCACAUUUAGCCAUAUGUUGUACUUUGUUUUCCACCUUGACUUUUAAUGACACACAAACCAACUUUCCAAGGAAUUCCCUUUCAUUUUCCUAUUAACUCAUAUUCUCUUUUUUUAUCAAGUCCUUGAUAGAGAAAGUGGACUUUGAGUUGUUGGACUUUAGUAUUGCAUGGACAUACAAUUUUGAAUGAAAAAUCCUUAUAAAUGGGGCCUUUUAACUCAUUUGAUGGGUUGGCUAUUGAAUUUGGGCUUUCAUACCAAAUGGAAUUUUUUUUCUUAUUUACUUAAAGAAAAAAAAAAAAAAUUUACCACGCCCAUUUUUUUUCAUCUAUUUCUUUCGUCCGGUUCUUUCAUCCAACGAGUCCCACAACUCGAUUAUGAGUCUAGAAGUACUAAGUCAAACUUAGUGGUUGUUCGAAUAAAACGCAACUUCAAAUGUAAGUAUUCUAAAAACCUUAUUUUUUGGUUUAGUCUCGUUAAUUAAGCCCAAUUAGGGUAGAAUUUCGAUUCUUUUUCUGUUGUGCAUGUCUUAGUUCUAUCAGUAACUCCCUUCAGGGUGAUAACUCUCAUCAGCAGACUUUCCAUUACUGGUUUCUUCCUUAGUCAUCAUUAUAUUGUUGUUUUCCACAAUAGAUAGGGUGAGUUGCAGUUUUACAUGAAAUGCUCUGCUCACCCACACUCUUUUCUCACUAGUUCCUUAUUCUCAAUCUUCAACGCAAAUUUCAUCAUCUGGGCCAACCCAAUCGGUUCCACAGUUUCCACUUCCAUUUUUAUUCAUGGGCUAAGCCCAAUCAUCAAAGUCUCCUCUAACACUACCGUUUGAAGAAAUGCUACUAGAGCUAAAUAUCGAUCAAAUCGGUUGCGGUAUUCUUCUAAUCAUUUUCUGUUUGAUUGAGAAAAAUCUUCCAACCAAAGUUCCUUCUCGAAUUGAUCGAAACUGUACAAGCAUUCGUUCUUUCAGGUCAGCCCAAUUCUUAAAAACUUCCAACUCUUCUUGUGCUUGGUACCAAUCCAAUGCCAGAUCAUCAAAACUAAUAACGCUGUGGUUAAUUUCUCUGAAUCAGUAAGAUCAUGUAUCUUAAAGAAGCGAUAGGCUCUAAAUUGAGACCCAUUUCUAAUUUGAGUAAUGAAGUAAAUUUGGCUAGGUAUUAAGAAUUUGGCGUUUGAAUAAAUCCACGAAAAGGAUUAAGCGAUAAAAAAAUUUAUGGUUAAGUAUACGUUAUUGCGAUUCAGUGGGUAGUUCGCGAAGGAAGUUGUGCGACCCAUUUCUAAUUCGAGUAAGGAAGUAAAAUUCGGCUAAGAAUUAAGAAGUUGGUGUUCAAAUAAAUCCAUGGAAAGAUUAAGUGAUAAGAUCUUUUACGGUUAAGUAUACUUUUUUGCGAUAAGUGGUAGUUCGCGAAAGAAGUUGUGCGAUAAGAAGCGAAAAAGUCUUUGCGUAAGUUAGAAAUGAAAGUUUUGAGUGUUAGACUAGGAGUUUUGGGUGGUCUUCGCGAGAAGAACCAAGUGUUUCGUGGAGAAGAAGUCUACGAGGAAGCCUUGGAGUUUAAGUUCGUGAUAAGAGUUUUAUGCGAGUAAAAGUUGGUUAGUUCAUGUGGAACGUUUCUUAUAAUAAAAAUAUAAUCAAGCGAUAAGGUUAUUCACGAGAAAUGUUAAGUGGUUGAAUUUAUUCACGGUUUGGGUUAGGCGGGAGCAAGGUUUGUAAAGAAAAUGUCAAAUCUGAUUUGACAUGGGUUAACAUGUAAGAUUAAGGAUUUGAGCAUGACUAGGUUAAAUAUUAAGGAUUUGCAUGACUAAGUUAGUAUAAGGGAUCUAUAAAAUAGGAGAAUUUAGGUAACUAAGGAGGGGAUGACGAGAGUUUUGUUGAAAUGCUAAAGUGUUGUUGGUUUAGCCACGAAAAGAUGGUUGUGAGAAGGACUUCUUUAGUAAAUUUUGGUGAGUGCUUUUCAGUCAAAAGAAUUUAUGUUAAGAAACUUUAUUACGAUUUCUCUUUACUGAUUGAAAGAAGAAUUCAGAUGAGAAUGUUUCAGAAAGAUUUCUAUGAAAAGUUAUGUUCAAGCAUUAUUAUAAUGUUAAAGCUUGAUUUGAUGACUAUGAUUUCAAUAUUAUGUUUCUUUGAGAUGAUGCUAACUUUUGUGUGCACAUAAAGAGUGAAGGCACUAUGGAGUGUACGAACUACAUGGUAAUAAGAAGCUGACUUAUGCAUUGAAAUGAGCGUAUAAAGCUUAGCGGAUGACAACAAAGACGAAUUUGUAUGUUCUCAGAUGUUGAUACAGUAGUCUAAACGCGAGGUAAUGACACCAGCGUAGAGAAUGAUUCGGGAUCCUUGACAAAUGAAAUGAUUUUUUAAGCAUAAAGAAAGGUUUAUUCGAAAUGAAAUAAUUUUUCGGUAUAUUUAAAUGAUUUGAUAUUAUUUUACAAAAUGAUUAUGAAAAGGUAUUGUGAAAGGUUUUCAUAAAACCUUAAAGGAUUUAAAAAAAAAGUGGACCAUUCAACUUAAUUCCCAUCCACUAUCCUCUUGUCCAACAUGAAACUUUAUCUUAGUAAAACUUCUUGAUCCACUAUUUUACAAAAAUAUUCAAAACAAUACCAUACUACACCAAAUGUGAUAUUUUGGUAACACUAUAAAAUGGUCAGAAAUACCAUUUUCCUGACUUUUUUUUCAUCGACCAUUAAAGAAAAAGUAUAGAUGAUGUUUCAAAAACUUCCAAACCAUUGUGUUAGUUAUCGUUUUAGAUGAGGGUUGGGGUAGAGCAUCAAUACUAAAGGUUGUUAAGGAUUAAGAACUAAGACUUGAAAACAAAACCGCCUGCCUGGUUGACAACAACACCAUCCCACUAGAGUGCACAAUGAUUAUUAUUGCAUUAAGAAGAAGAUGGCAGUUAACCUUAGCGCCAUAAUCAGAACCUCAAUCCUCCCUUUGAUGAAAGCACCUAAAGGUGUCAUGCCUUUCCCCUCUACCACAUUGAAGCUCUUUGUCUAACACUACAAGAAAUGAGGGCUCUCUCGAUGCAUAAAAUCAUUGGGAGAUAUAUAAAAAGCAUCAGAAAAGGCUUUUCUGACAUACUAAUAUACGUUGGAACACAAGUCAGGAAAAAAUGUAUCGGGAGAGGAACUCCCGAUGCACAAUGUUGUGCGUCGAGAGUUUCUAGACAUCUUCUGACGUUGUAUGAACGUCGAAGAUGUUGUCAAUAUAGCAUCGAGAGAUGUCUAGGAACCAUGCGUCGGGAGAUCCUCUAUUUUUUAUUAAAAAAAAUAACUUCAAUUAAUUCCUAAAUUCAAAUUGAAAACUCUAAAUUCAAACUCAACUUCAACACUUCAACCUCAACUUCAACACUUCAAAUUCAAAUUUCUAAAACCUACAACUAAUUCAAAAUUCUAACAACACUUGAAAUUAAAUUUCAACACUAAAACUUACAACUAAUUCAAAAUCUAAAUACUAAAACUAAUUUGAAAUCUAAAAUCUAACACCUAAAACAAAUUUGAAAUCUAAAUACUAAAACUAAUUAACUAAAACAAAACAAUAACUAACUAAACCACUUACCGAUGGCGGCGACGACAGGACGACAACAGGGACGACAAUGGAGAUGACAAUGCCCUCUUCUUCUUUAUCUUCCUCUCGGUCUCCCUCUCCCUCUCUCAUUUUUUUCUCUUUAUGUUUCAUUUAUAUAAAGAAUGGAGUUAAAAAAGGCAGAGAACUCCUGACGCACAACGAAAACGAAUUGGUUCCACAAACCAAUCUCAUCACAGAGGUACUCUUUGCAAUUUAAGCUCUAUUUGCAAUGGACAGUCUUCAAAGUUUUUUUUAACGAUGUUUCCAAUGCUUUCCUUUCUCUCUCAUGUUUAAUAAAACAAAUUUCUCUUAAAACCUGUAGGGAGGCUACAUCGUAUCGAAUUUCAUACAACUGACGUGUUCAUCGAGUUACAACAAGUGCCGCACAAUAGUCUGUUCCAUUUUGAAAAGUUGUGAGUGUGACACGCUCACAUGAGGUUAGAACGAGACAUGGCAAGGCAAGCCCUACGCGCGCCUGCAACUUCUGCCACAAUAUUUUGUAAGCAAGCUGAUGUCUUUAGGCUGUUUUUGUGGUUUUUGGAAAUUUUAAGCAAAGUUUUGAUAUUUUUAUGAUCAACGGGAAUUAAAUGGAAUUAUUUCCCAUUAUUUUUCAUUAUUUUAGAUUUGAAGGAGAUCGACCAAGUUUAUAAGCCAAGGGUCCAAGCUACUCUCUAUAAGUGACAAAAAUGAGUUUAAAGUUGAUUUCUAUACAUGAAUUUACUAUCAAAUGUUUCAAGCAUGCUUUGAUGUUUGAAUAUUUGAGGAUACUGACUAUAAAGUAUUUCCAAAGCAUGAAUUUAGAAACAUUUUGGUAAACAUGUUUUUAUUCAUGAAUUUACUAAUGAAAAUUAUAAGCAAUCAUGAUUGUGCUAAGUUUUCAGAAUGUUUAAGCUUGAAAAUAAUAUUAGCAUGUUUUAGUCUAUACCUAAAAUAUUCUAAGAUAUAUAGCAACCCUUCGCGGAGAGAUUUUCUUGUGCAUAGAGGUCAUUUGAUUUGGAUAUUCAGUAAAUACCUAGCUUUCCAUCAUUGGUAUUAGAUAAGAGAUGAAGACUUCUAAAGAUGCUUAGUUUCCCAUCUCAGGGACGAGAGCUUGUACGAAUGCCUAGUUUUCCAUCUCAUUGUAGUUAUAACGAGAUAGGGCACAAUUGAUGCCUAGAGUUUCAUCUCGUAAGUAUCGUAUCACGGGAUAGGGCUUCUAUGCCUAGUUUAUUGUUUUUCGUCUCGACGAUUAUAGGUAUAACAGAGAUUUGGUUUGAGGUGCUUCUUAAGUCUUUAAUAUUUAUGUUUGUUUUGAUCCUAGGAAUUGAGCAUGUAAUGUAAAAAGUCUAUGCACAAGGGGUCAUAUGGCCAUCUCCGUGUUUCUUUAAUUAUCAAAUUUGUUCAAGUUUUUAAUUGUCUCUAGAUCAAAAUCUGGAGUUAUUUUUUGUGAUUUGGUGUACAAAUACAUACAUCCAUGUUUCUAAUUAUGAUUAGAUUGUUUUCUGCUCGCAACAUUUUAUUGUUUAGCUUGUCUUUGAUCUUGAACUUACUAUUAUGUUGAUUUAAAUUCCAUUUUAGCCUUAGAACUUUCAAAACAUCCAUUUUAGUCAUCGAGCUUCCAAAACGUAGCCAACUAAGUUUUAGUAUUUUGUAAAUUAUUUUAUCAAUUAAUAUUCAUUUAUCCAAUACUCAUCGGUCAUUUCUGCUAUAUGUGAUUGGAAUAUAUCUCAUAGGAAGCAUUUUGAAAGUUGGGAAAAGAUGGAAAAUUUUAGGGACUAGAACAAGAAUUUGUUUAAUAUUUUUUGAUAGGGUGAAUUCUUGCAAUUUCCUUGUCGUAUAUACAUAAUUUUUUCUCUCAUUUGGCAAAUUCAUUAUGCUUGAAAAUUUAGGUGAUUCAUGAGCUAGAUAAAGUAAACAACGUAUGGAAGAUGAUCUUUGUGGCUUGUGAGGAAGACGUGGAGGAAGCCUUGGUGGCCGUAGAAAAAGGGAUAUGGACUUUCAACGUUGAAUGGUUAAUGGCAUGUAUAAUGAGACAAGAAGUAGACUUGGAGGCCCUUAAUUUGCUGAGUCCCUAUGAGAAACAAGGUCACCCUAACUUUCAGUUUUGAACAAGCAGCAGCCAGCCAUUUCGUCCUUGUGUAAAUCCACUCUUUUCUCAACUCACUCUAAUUUGGUACAUAAACAAACUCUGAUCGCUCCAUCUCUAUAUUCAUCAGUACAUAAAAGACGAUAAGUUUAUUCAUGGAGAAAGUUGGAUGUAAGUAUGUUUUAGGAAUGGUCCUUCAUUUAGUAACUUUGGGAAUUGUAAAAAUGAGGUAAUGAAGUUCUAUCAAGUUGAAUGUUCUUGUUUAUGUUAGAUGAGACUGAUUCUUGGAUACCAGAAUUAACUUGAAGUACGUGUUUGAGUUCCAUUGGAGUGAUUAGAGAAAAGAUGUUCCUUUAAAAACGGUAAUUUUUUUAUGUAGACUUUCUUUUUAUUAAAAUUGCUUAAAAUACAAUUUGAGAGUAUUUCAAUAGCUUUCAAAGAGUUGUCAAACACUUGUAGUUUUUCUAAAAUAACAUAUUUUCAAAAUUAAUUACUGUAAUAGUUAAACAAAAGAUUCUUUCCCUUCGAAAUUUUAAAGUUUGUCUAGUUACCUCUUAAACCUUUCAAUUGUUUAAUAGGUCUUUCAAUUUUAUGUUUUAAGUGUCAUAAAUUUUGAUUUUUUUUUAUUUGUUAGAUAUAAAUCUGAAGAAAUGAAUAAAGUAGAUUUGUAAGUUUAAAAUAGUUUAAAAGUUGAGAAAUUAAAUUUGUAGUUUAAAAGUUGGAGUAAAUAGUUUGUGUUAAGUCGGGUUGUGAUAUUUUAUUUAUUUAUUUUAAUAAUAGAAGAGAGGGAGACGAAAACUGCAGACUGAAGGGAGAAGAAGCGGUGGCUGACUUUGUAUAUUUCUCCUUUCUUUUCAAUUUGAGAAAAUUUCUUUGCAAUUCACUUUGAAAAGGAAAUGAAUAUUUCUCCCUCAGACUUAUCUCUCUCUUCUUUUCAAUUUAUUUUCAAUUUUUCUGUGUGCUUCUCACAGUGUAUGCAUAAUCUCUCUUUCAUUUUGAUAUUCAUCUCCAUUUCAAAUAUCUCCCACACAAAGAACAAAGAAAUGAGUAAAGUAACUGAGAGAGCAUUUUGUUUUUCCCUUCAUAUGGUUGGUUACUUUUUGUCAAUUAAAUGAAAAGUGAAGAAUAAGAUAAGAUUUUCUUUACCCAUUUGCCAUCAUCAUCAAAGCUAUUUACCUCAUUUUUGUUCACACACACACAACUUCAUUUUGUUGGAUUACACUCAUUUGAGAAAAUAGCAAAAUUUUAUUAGAAGAAUAGCAAACACGAGCAUUUCAUGUGUUUUGAAUUUUCAUUAACCCUAAAAUCUCCUCGCCUGCUUUUUAGUUAAACUGUAACUAAUUUUGAAAUAUGCAAAAUUUUAGCAUAAAUAUUGAUUUUCUCCUACAUUAUCUUAACACACUUUUUUUCCUCCAAAUAUUGGAUUUAUAUCAAAUCUUUAUUUUCAAAUUUUACUUUAUCCAAAUUUUCAUUUUUCAAAAUUUCAUCGUUAUUCUACUUUUAUUUUUGUAUUUCAUAUAUAUAUAUAUAUUUAUAAUAUUUAAUCUUAUUUUUUCUCUUUUCCUAUUCAUCUUCUUCCUUUCUCUUCCUCUUCAACCUACGGCCACACCACCGUCUCUUUUCUUCCUUCUCUUUUCAUUCUCCAAUCAACUUCACCACCGUCUUCCACCUACAUCGAACGUCAAGCAAAUUUUGUCGUAUCGUCGCAUCACCGUUAGCCCGAGUCACUCCGGUUCCGUCACGCCAUGUAUGUUUAGAUUUGAAUUGUUUGGUUAUUUGUUGCACCGAUCCGUCUCCGUUAGAAUUUGAUUCUCCACAAUUUGGGUAAGUUAUGGAAUUUACAUAUAGAGUGAAUUGAAUGGAUUAAAUUGUUUGUGGAAGUGAUUGAUUUCUCUUCAAUUAUGUUUAGGUCGGUUCGUUGCACUUUAGUUUGAAAAAGAAGCUUAAGUAAGGUUAUAAGCUAAGGGAUUCUCUACUACUGGACUCACCUAUAGUUUUGAAUUGUGCUGUCUGUAUAGUUACCUCGAUUGAGUAAAGAUGUCGAAACGAUAUAUAUACGUAUGAAUGUAGACUUGAUGUUGAAUGCAUAUUGUGAUUGUCUGGGAAUAUAUAUAUAUAUAAAUAUGUAUGGAUGUAGACAGGACGACAAUUGUAGAUUGUGUUUGUAUGGAAUGUGGAUGUGUGAACUUGUGAUUGUCGUUUAGAUUGGGUGUAUGUUAUACUAAAGUAUGGUUGUGUACUGGUGAAUUGAGGGGUGUUAUGACUAUAUAGUUUGAUUGACUGAUGUAUUGAUAUGUUACUGGCGGACAUUGGGCUAAAGUGAGAUAAGUUGACUAUUAGGGUGUUCAGUGAAAGGAUUAUAUGUUGAAGUAGUUGGUUACUAUGAAUGAGUUUUAAGAUGUUUAGAAUGGAUUGAGGGGAAAAUUGUUAGAUUUCUAUUGGGUAGUUACCUUGCAGGUGUCCUACAGGAUCACCACCUGAUAUGUGCAUCCUUCGAUAGCACUAGACUGAUAUGUGCAUCCUUCGGGAGCAUUAGACUGAUAUGUGUUUCUGCGGAACACUAGACUGAUUUAUGCGUCCUUUGAGGCGUUAGACUGAUUAUGUGUAUCCUACGGAUCACAAGACUGUGACUGUGCAGGGUACCCCAAUAGGAAGUUAACAGUUUCUUUUUCCCCUAACGGGACGAAUAACGGGUCUCUUAUUGGGUAUGUUUAUACUCAUCCUUUCAUGUUUAACUAUUUUAGGCAAAGGUAACAAAUGAGGUAGACUGACGAGGGACAAGAAGGAGACGUGAUUGCCAUAAGGGAAUGUCCUUCAAAUGCUUCUGCUUUAUGUUUCUUGUUUUCCUUUGUACAUGAGGUUGUUUAAAAAUUUUGUGAUGGAACUGAGUUUACGAACUGUUGUUUUGUGAAUAGUACUUUAAAGUUUGGAUAUUUGAAAUAGGGCCCGAACUUAAGUUUGUUUUCUUUGAUCGUAUGAUUUCAAGUGAAUUUUACUAUAUUUUGUGUCAAUCAAGGUCUCUUUGUCAAAAUUAAUGACUUCAACUUAGUUAGAAAAGUUGGGUCGUUACAACAAAUUUUAAGUAUUGAUGUAAGAAUUAUGUACUUCAUUAUAAAGGUCGAUAGCUUACAAAUAUUAACACGAUCGUGUACCGAUAACAAGACGAUUGUUUACACUAUUCAAUACGAUCACCAAUAUCAUAUGAUCGUGUACCCAUGUCAACACGAUAAUUUAUUUUAAUCAAUAUUAUCAUUUACCGUUCUUAAAUGUUCGUUUAUCACGGUUAAUAGGAUCGUUUAAUGUAUAUUAUUUCAUUGCACGAUCGUUUACUUAUUCUUGCAUUGUGUUUAGUAUUAUCAUUUUGUACAUUUUAUUCUUUUAUUCAGUAAUAAAUGUAUAUCUAUGUCUAUCUAUUUCUUUCUAUCACAAUUAAAUACUUAAUUUUAUUUUAUUUAUUUUUUUUACAGAUUAUAAUGUCUUUUCCUAUUGUUGUUUUUUACGGAGGUCAAUGGAAUGGAUGUAAUAUUUAUGAGAAUUACUUAGUUGCUGAAAUUUUGGUAGGUGUCCGAGUCAGCUUUAAUUCUCUAGUUGAUUUAAUAUGUGAACAGAUUCAAUUGGAUGGAUAAGUAGAAUUAUCUGUUUUACUUGAUUUUGGUAAAAGCAAGGUCCAACUGUGGUGCCAGUAAAGAAAGACAAUGAUGUGGCUUGGUAUUUAUCUUUUGCUAAAGAUGCAACUAAUAUACAUCCAUUAGUUGCUCAUGUAACUGUUGAUUUUUUUUAGAAGGUCUUCUUCUUCUUAGAGAACUACCUGUAGCUACCAUGCUUAGUUCAAUUAGAGAUGUAUUGCAAAAGUGGUUUGAUGAAAGAAGUAAAGCUACUUUUACAAUGAAGAGUUGUUUGACUUCUUGGGCUGAGAACGUGUUGCAUUUAGAAUAACAUGAAAAGUCAAGAAUUUUAUUGGUAAUUUUUUUUUUUUUUUUAAUGUUUGUAUCUCAGGUAGAUAUAAAUAGAUUGCUAUUUUUGUCCAUUCGAUAGAGAAAUAUAACAAUUUAUGUGUGCUUGUUUCAGAUAUAUAGAGAUAGAUAGCUAUCAAUGUCUAUUUGUCUCUAUUUGUGCAUGCUUUUUUUUUUAAUUUUUCUAUAUUUGUUUUAUGUAUUAGGUUGAUCCAAUUAGUAUGACUGAAUAGAAAGUAAUGGAUGAUACAAAAUGAUAAUGUGAUUUAUUUAUAUUGGUUCUAAUUUGAAAUAUUCAAAUUUACUUUGGAAAUUAGUAUAAUUAGUAUAAUAUAUAAUGAUACAUUAUAAUAUAAAGUUUAUAUUUAAUGAAACUUUAUUAUAUAAAUUUAAUUUUAGAUAAAGUUCAAAAUUAAUUUAUGAGAAAAUAUUUGAAUGAGUUCAAAUAUUAAUUUAAUGUGGAUUUGUUUCAUAUUAAAACUAUUAAUUAUGAGAUAAAGUUAUAUUUGAAUAUGAUUCAAAUUUAACUUAAGUUAAAUAUAAAAUAUUUAAUUUAGUUAUUAAUUAAUUGAAGAAUUAAUUAAUAGUUUAGUUUAAUAUUAUUUAAUUAAAUUUGAUUUAAUUAAAUUAAUAUAAAACUAUGGGUAUUGGAGAGAUAUUCAUUCAAUAAGAUUUAAAUGAAAUAUUAAUUAAAUAUGAUUUAAUUAAUUAUUAACUAAUUGAUUAAUGGUUAAUUAGUUAGUUGAUUUGAAACUUCUAUUAAUUUAAUAUUUUUUAAGUUAAUAGAAUCCUAUGAUUUUCUCCUACCCCGUCUCCUACUCAAUGAAAGAAAGAGAGUUAUAAAUAUGUAGAAGAAAAACAUCUUUUCUUAACCAAAAUAAAAUCGAUGAUUUUCUUUUCUGCAAAAUAGAUUGUAACGACCUAAUUUUUCGAAUUAAGCUGAAGUUAUUACUUUAAGACUAGAUUCGUCUUUAACCAUAAGACUUUAUAAUUUAAAAAAUAUAUUUUUUAACAACAUUAAAGAGUUUUUAUUCGGCUCUAUUUCAAAUAAAAUUUUGAAAGUGUAAAAGUAUCGAUAAUAAAGAAAGUUCAAGAACAUAAAAGUCGUUCAAUCAUGAAACCCAAAACAGUCUCAAUUACUAAAGAAAACCAAAAAAAAAAAAAAUAUAAAGUAAAAGCAAUUUGAAGGACAUUUCCCUAUGGCAGUUUCGCGGAAAAAGAUUAAACAUAAAAGGGUGAGUAUAAACAUACCCAGUAAGGGACCCACUACUGAUCCUGUUUAGAAGAAAAAUAAAAUUGUUAACUUCCUAUUGGAGGUGCCCUGCACUUUAAAAGUCUUGUGAUCAUGUAGGAAUACACAUAAGCAGUCCAAUGCCCUAAAGGACACAAAUACUAGUCUAGUGCUCUGCAGAAAGCACAUGUCAGUCUAGUGCUCUCGAAGAAUGCACAUGUCAGUCUAUUGCUCUCGAAGAAUGCACAUGUCAUUCUAGUGCUCUCGAAGAAUGCACAACAGGUGGUGAUCCUGUAGGACACCUGCAAGGCACACUACCCAAUCGACAAAGCUAACAAUUUUCCCUUAGUCCAUUAUAAACAUUUAAUCAAUCCAUUCCUAGUAUAGUCAAACUACUCCAUCAUAUCAUCAAUCCAACUUAACACACUUACGUUCAAUCUAUUCAAUCUAUCACAAAAUCAGUUGAUACUAUAACAACACACCAGACAGUCAAGAUAUAUAUAUAUAUACAUAACACCUUUCUCAGUUUACAAAUACAUUAUCCAUCGUAUCUACUUCUAUACCAGUAAGUUUACAAACACUAACUGUUGAGUUUCUACAGUAGAUUCUUGAAGAUGUGACUCUUGAACAGAUGGAUUCUCAUGGAUGAUCACAUGUUUGUUAUUUUGAUGGUCAUCAUUCUUGUCUAGAUUGUGAUGACUAGAAUCAUCACGAAGAUCAUCAUACAUGUUGUUAAUAUCAUCAAACAAUUGAUUCUGAUUCUAGUAUAGAAAGAAAAAAGGAUAAUAAAAAAAUAGUUACAAAAUGAUCGUGUAUCCUUAAGCAAACAAUCGUGUAGAAUAUCUAAACGGUUGUUUUACCAAGGGUGAUCGAUAUUUUAGAUGGGAUAUGCGAUCGUUCAUAUGUGAUAUGUGAUCGUGUAAAGAUAUAUCAAACCUUUGUUCUGUCAGAAGUCGUGCUAAGAAGAGUUGAAAGCUUGUAAUAAGAUCCAUCAAAACUGAAAGAUUUUACAUCAACACGUUCCUGACACAGUAAUGCAGUAUCAAUGAGCAUCAAAUUACGUGAGAUACGUAUUAGAAAAUAUCUAACUGCUCAGUUAAUUUUUUAUGGACAUCAAAUCACCUUUUUUCAAGCUUAAGGAAGGAAAUGUCGACACUAUAUAUGUCAGAGUUGUGCAUUGCAAUGGAAGUGCCAACACGAGGUGAUACAUGUGUGUCUGGGAUGUAAAUGCCACUCCCCGACUAGGACCAACAUAGACUUAGGGAGAAAGCAUGCUAGGAAUUGGAGUUGUGUCCUCAAUUUCUUCAAGGGACUUGAGCAUUUCUUCUUACACUAGAAUGUCUCCUGUUCAGAGAGUUUAUAGGAUUUCUCAAGGCCAUUUUUGCAUACUUAACAGCUCUUGACAACGGUAGAGAGUCUAACUCUACACUUUCAAGGGGUUCCAACUCCACCACUCGCUGAGCCAAAGAUAGAGACGAAUCAUUAAUGAUCCAGUAAGCAACAUGAAACCUUGUAAUUUUGGGGUUAACGGUAGUCCCUCCCAUUACUAGCUCAACACUUAAACGGAGUCUCCUCUAUAAAAUAUAAAAUAAUACAGACACAAAUAGUGAAUGAAAUCUUGUGACGUAACAAACACAAAUUUUAGGUAUACUGCAAUUUGACUAAAUAUUGAACAAGAAAACCCAAGGGAAUACACAAAAAUCCAACGUUUUUAGGGGUCAAUUUGGAAAAUGGCAAAACUACUUUUUCUUUUCAAUUUUAGCAAACAACAUUUUUUGCGCGUGCAUGGUAUUUUAUAAAAUACCAAAAUAUUCAACUUCUCCAACUAUAAUUAUUUUGUUUUUACGUUAUAAUUAAUUUAUGUUAUGUAUUUAUCAACUUUUAAUUAAUUUUUACUUGAAAUAGAUACAUUAACUCAUAUCAUAACUUUUCUCUUAAAAUCUCAGGACUCAAUUAAUUAAUUCAAUAUUUUAAUAACAUUAUUCAAUCUUAUUAAUUUCAAAAUAAUCUAAUUGAAUUUGAAUUUCAAAAUAACCAAAUUGAAUUUCAAAAUUACAAAAUUAUUAUUUUCUAGAAUUUGAGAAUCUCAACGAUAGAUUUUAUAUUAAAAUAAACUUAUCUCAAAAUAAUUUUAAUGACUUGAAUAUCAAGAUAAUUAAAUUAUUAUUUUAAAAAUUGGAAGAAAAGCACAAAAAGCGCACACGCCCACUCACGUACACACGCACGCGCGCGUAUACGCACACACACGCACACGCACACGCACAAAAGCGCACACGUGGACACUCACACCCACGCACACGUAGACAUACACACCCACGCACACGUGGACACGCGCAUACGCACACACGUACGCACUCACGCACACGCACGCACACACGCACAUAUGCACAAAGAUGUAUAAAUGAAUUAAAAUUAAAAAAUAACUACAAUAAUUUGACUUACUAACGUUAAUUAAAUUAUAAUUUCUAUCAAUAUUGGUUUAAAAGUGUCAUUAAUGUAAUUAUUUCAAUAUAAUGCACUCUUAUCCAAUUUUACGAACAAAAAACAAGUCGAAUAUGUACCAUUAGAUGACACUCUUUGUCAUAAGAGAUAUAGCAACGUUUUUAUGGGUCAUUUUGAAAAAUGGCAAAACUACUUUUUCUUUUAAAUUUUAGCAAAUAGAAUUUUUUACACGUGUCCAUGAUAUUUUAUAAAAUACCAAAAUAUUCACCUUCUCAAACAGUAAUUAUUUCGUUUCUACGUUGUAAUUAAUUUAUGUUAUGCAUUUAUUAGCUUUUAAUUAUUUUUUACCUGAAAAAGAUACAUCCUUUUUCUUAAUAUCUCGGGACUCAACUAAUUGAUUCAAGAUUUUAAUUUUAUUCAAUCUUACUAAUUUCAAAAUAACCUAAUUAAAUUUCAAUUUCAAAAUAACAAAAUUAUUAUUUUUCGAAAUUUGAGAAUCUCAACGAUAGAUUUUGUAUCAAAAAUAACUUUAAUUGAAUUUCAAAAUUAAAAAAUAUUAACUUGUUCGCACACAAGCACACGCGCACACGUGCACAACGCACGCACACACACGCACACACACCCAUCCACACACGCACACGCACACGCACAUAUGCACACACGCACAAAGAUGUGUAAAUUAAUUAAAGUUAAAAACAAAUACAUUCAUUAUGUUCAGAAAGAGUUUUAAACCAUGUUCAUUUGACUUAAUAACAUUGAUUAAAUUAUAAUUUCUAUCAAUAUUGGCUUAAAAGUGUCAUUCGUGUAAUUAUUUCAAUAUAAUGCAGUCUUAUCCAAUUUUACGAACAAAAAACAAGUCAAAUAUGUACCAGUAGAUGACACUCUUUGUCAUAAGAGAUAUAGCAACGUUUUUAUGGGUCAUUUUGAAAAAUGGCAAAACUACUUUUUCUUUUAAAUUUUAGCAAAUAGAAUUUUUUACACGUGUCCAUGAUAUUUUAUAAAAUACCAAAAUAUAAACCUUCUCAAACAGUAAUUAUUUCGUUUCUACGUUGUAAUUAAUUUAUGUUAUGCAUUUAUUAGCUUUUAAUUAUUUUUUACCUGAAAAAGAUACAUCAACCCAUAUCAUAACUUUUUUCUUAAUAUCUCGGGACUCAACUAAUUGAUUCAAGAUUUUAAUUUUAUUCAAUCUUACUAAUUUCAAAAUAACCUAAUUAAAUUUCAAUUUCAAAAUAACAAAAUUGUUAUUUUUCAAAAUUUGAGAAUCUCAACGAUAGAUUUUGUAUCAAAAACAAUUUUAAUUGAAUUUCAAAAUUAAAAAAUAUUAACUUGUUCGCACACAAGCACACGCGCACACGUGCACAACGCACGCACACGCACGCACACACACUCAUCCACACACGCACACGCACACGCACAUAUGCACACACGCACAAAGAUGUGUAAAUUAAUUAAAGUUAAAAAAACAAAUACAUUAAUUAUGUUCAGAAAGAGUUUUAAACCAUGUUCAUUUGACUUAAUAACAUUGAUUAAAUUAUAAUUUCUAUCAAUAUUGGCUUAAAAGUGUCAUUCGUGUAAUUAUUUCAAUAUAAUGCGGUCUUAUCCAAUUUUACCAACAAAAAACAAAUCGAAUAUGGAUCAGUAGAUCUACACUCUUUGUCAUAAGAGACAUAACAACGUUUUUAGGGUCAUUUUGAAAAAUGACAAAACUACUUUUUCCUUUGAAUUUUAGCAACUAGCAUUUUUUGCACGUGCAUGGUAUUUUAUAAAAUACCAAAAUAUCAACAUUCUUCAACUGUAAUUAUUUCGUCUCUACAUUGUAAUUAAUUUAUGUUAUGCAUUUCUCAGCUUUUAAUUAUCUUUUACUUGAAAUAGAUACAUCAACUCAUAUCAUAAUAUUUUUCUUAAUAUCUCGAGACUCAACUAAUUAAUUCAACAUAUUAAUAAUUUUAUUCAAUCAUACUAAUUUCAAAAUAACCUAAUUGAAUUUGAAUUUCAAAAUAACAAAAUUGAAUUUCAAAAUAACAAAAUUGAAUUUCAAAAUAACAAAAUUGAAUUUCAAAAUAACAAAAUUAUUAUUUUUCGGAAUUUGAGAGUCUCAACGAUAGAUUUUGUAUUAAAAUAACCUUAAUUGAAUUUCAAAAUUAAAAAAUAUCAACCUGUUCACUAUCUUUAUCUCAAAAUAACAUUAAUGCCUUAAAUAUCAAGAUAAUUAAAUUAUUAUUUUAAAAUUGGAAGAAACUCAACAUUAAAAAUAUUAACUUGUCGGACACAAGCAUAGAAGCACUGCGCACACACGUACACAUGCACACUUACACACACGCGCGCACACGCACACCUACACACAGACACCCACAGACGCACGAACCCACGCACACACACAUGCACACGCGCACGCAUGCACACACACACCUAUCCACACGCACACAAGCACACACACAUGCACAAACGCACACACGUGUACGCACAAACCUUAUCUCAAAAUAGUUCCUAUUUUUGCUGACAGUUUAUUUUUUGCCAUCGAUAGAGGAUCUUCCAAUAGACCUACGUGACGGUGUGUGUUGACAGCUUAAUUUUGUUGGCAAAAGAAAAGUUGAUUAGUUUUUGAAGAUUUACUGACGAUAUUUGUCAUCGACAAAGGGUAAAUUUCUUGUAGUGCAUGUACAUCAAACAUAUCAAAUUUGUUAAGUGUACCAAUGAAGUAUAACAAGUUUAUUAGUGGUGUAUCACGUGUAUCAAACUUAUUAGUGAAGUCUUUAAGUGUAUCAAACUAAUCAAGUGUAUCAAGGCCUCAGGGGUAUCAAGUGUAUCAAGAAGAAUCAAGUGUAACGAGAAGUAUUAUGUGGAACGAGAAGUAUUAUAUGUAUGAAGAUGUUUCAAGUGUGUAUCAAAAAGUAUCGAGUGUAUCAAUGAGUACCGAGUGCAUGAAUUGUAUCUAUCAAAUGUAUCAAGUGUAUCAGUAAGAAGUAUCAAGUGUAUCAAGGGUAUUAGGUGUAUCAGACGUGUAUAAGGUGUAUCAAAUAUACAUCAAUAACGAGGGCAUUUGUGACAUUUUACCUCUUGAUGUGUGAGUUGGUCUUUGUUUUUGUCAUUUUCUCAAAUAAUAAAGUAUGUGUUCUAUGGACUUAAUUAUUAUAACUUAUUUUGCCAUUUUCGCAAGUGUCCCUUAAUUGUAAUACAUGUAUAUGUGACAUAAUCUAAUCAAACUAACUCAUAAAUGGACUUAAUGUAUCAAGAGGUAUUAGGUGUAUCAGACGUGUAUAAGGUGUAUCAAAUGUACAUCAAUAACGAGGGCAUUUGUGACAUUUUACCUCUUGAUGUGUGAGUUGGUCUUUGUUUUUGUCACUUUCUCAAAUAAUAAGGUAUGUGUUCUAUGGACUUAAAUAUUAUAACUUAUUUUGCCAUUUUUGCAAGUGUCCCUUAAUUGUAAUACAUGUAUAUGUGACAUAAUAUAAUCAAACUAACUCAUAAAUGGACUUAAUCUAUCUCAUGGACCACGAAUUCUUCAAUUACUUGCAAAUUUGGUGAGUUCCUUCAAAUGGUGGGCGGAGAGCUUAAUUUUGAGAGAGAGGAAAAGUCGUGAAGAGUAUUUGCGAGAGAGGGGGGAACGUCGCCAGAGAGCAUUUGCGAGAGAGCUAAAGACAGCGACGAUGUGGGAUGAAGUAAGGUUUUUUUCGGUCAUUGUUCACAAGUGGGAUGAAAGCUUCGAAUUAUUUGUUUUAAAUCAAAAAACGUAUGAUUGAAGGAAAACAUUGAUUUUUAUUAGGGUAAUUUUUUAAUGACACAUAAUUUAUGCCAUUAUUUACAAUGCCAAAAUUUUGUCAAGAAAACUCAAUUUGUGUCACAAAAAAAUUUGUAUUUUUAUUUUUUUAACGACACAUUUUAUUCCCUCAUAUCCCUUUUUCUUGAUUUCAAGUGUCAUUAAAACUUAUAUUUCUAAAUAAAUUUAUUCGACGAAAGUGGCUAGAUUGGUGGGUUUGACGGCGAAGGCUUGUUGUGGGAGCAACGACAACAGUGGUUGGAGUGUGGAAUCGACGACGGCAAGUGGCAAAAAAUUGGGGGCAAGGGUUCUUCAUAACGACUCGAUAGCCCACUUCGAAUUUUUUUGAAAUUUGAGGUUUUUUCAUUUGAAAAUUUUUUUAAUGACAAAAAAAUUGACGUUAAUUAAUGACGCAAAAUUUGUGUUGAAAUAAAUUAAAUUGUGUCAAUAUGAUUGUUUUAAGAAAUAAUCCAUAUUUAUAUUUUCAACAACACAAUGUACCUCAUCCCACCUCUUUUUUCUUUUAUUUUCAACGACACAAUGUCUUGAUUAAAAUCCAUUUUUCUAGUAGUGACUGAAAAAAAAACUGGACAGAAUCAUAAUAUCUUUGAUAAUUAAAUCACCAGUUGGUUUGAACAUAUAUAAUCUUGGAUCUAUUCUAUUAUGAUAUGACCAUGGUACAUCAUGAACAUACAUUGACUAAAAAACUUAAAUUGAUGAGUGAAUGUAAUAAAUUUAAUAUUAAUUAUAUGAUCAAUACUUUACACAUGUAUAUUGGUAUAUCAGUCAAUAACAGUAGUAAGACAAAUUAUAAAAUAUAAGGGAUAAAAGUCCUACACAUGCAUGUAUGGUAUACUCUCUUGAUAGCAAAAUGCAUUUAUGUCAACUCAUGUUUGAAUGCAUUUAUGUAGGAAAUUCAAUAAAAUAAUUAAGAAACCUUGCAAUAUGUGAGAGAUAUACGAACUUCAAACAAAUUUUACAAGUUUCAGCAAAAAUUUUCAAACAACUUUUAAAGUUUAAGCAAAAAGUAACCGUAGGUAGGAAGGGGAGCAAAAGUGGGGUCUCGAAUUAAUUCUGAAAAAUUAGUAGGCUUUCAAAAUUUAGGUUCUAGAAGUAGAAUUAUUGCAGAAAAAUAAAUAAUUGCAUCAUUCAAAUUGAAUCAGACAUAUCAGGAUGUAUAUAUUCUCCACAACGUAUAAUGGAGUAUAAACAUAAAGUUUCUAUAUACAAAGCUAUGUAUCUCUACCCUUGACUUCUCUUUCUCUCUUUCUACCUUUUUUAUCCUUUCUUUCUUCCAUUCACUCAAUACACUUGCAAGAACCUUCAUUUUUUUGUAUUUAAAUUUUCUUGGCACCAUCCUUUUUUUUAAUUAUCAAGGCUUUGUUAUUGUGUACCAGUAUUGUGUCGUGCCUCCUUCACUUCUCAUCAUCAUUUUCAUGUCACAUCUCUACCUUGUCAAUUUUCGUUUUUCACUCAGCUUUCUUUCUUCUUUUGUCUUCACUACUUUCUUCGCUCCUUCUUCUCAAGCUCUAACUUUUGCUAUUAUCAACCAGUCUCAAAUGACCAUUGGAAAACCUAUAGCCCACUGAGAGGCAGCCAAUAUAGUAAUGUCUCUAAUGAUAAACUCCAAUGAAAUCAAAAGUUCUUCUUUAAGAUUUGGAAAAAUAUAUUAGAUAAACCCGGACGUGGUGAACGCGGUGAACGCAGACGCACGGACGGUGAACACGGCAGAAGUUAGAGAUCCUCAGAGAGAACUUGGCAUUUUCGAAUGCGGUAGAGACAAGUCUAGGGCUUCAAAGGAUUCAACCCAAUAUUUUCUUUAUAUAUAUAUAUAUAUAAUAUAUAUUAUAUAUAUAUAAAUAUAUUUAAUAACACUUGACGUUUUCAAAAACGUCAAGAAAAACGAUCUUACUUAACGUCUAAAAAAACAUCAAGAAAUUUAAAAAAUAACUCUCUCUGGCUUUUUAUAAAAAUUCUUGACGUUUUAAAACAUAAAGAAUUUUUAAGAUAUUUCUUGACGUUUUUAAAAUGUCAAGUAAAAGUACAUAUUACUUGACGUUUGAAAAUUUUGAAGAAUAUUGAAUAUAUAAACAUUCUUGACGUUUAAAAAUGUCAAAAUUUUUAUAGAUAUUUCUUGACGUUUUUAAAACGCCAAGAAAAAAUACAUAUUAGUUGAUGUUUAAUAAACGUCAAGAAAUCUGAAAAUUGACCUACCCGCCUUUUCGUAAAAAUUCUUGACGUUUUAUCUUUGGAACUACUCCUUUCUUGACGUUUUUUUUGAAAAAAAUGUCAAGAAAGAAAAACAACAAACGUCAAGAAAGGCCUUUUUUGUAGUAAUGACAUACAUAAAUAUAUAUAUAUACAUAUAUAUAUAUAUAUAAUGAAUUAAAAUGGUUUUGUUGCUUUACUGUUUUACUCUAUAAAGGAAGAGCAUUAUAAAUAUAUUAUUGAGGAAACAUUUUUUGAAAUGACUGGUUUUGGAAGUGUCAUUAGAUUUUUAGUUAGUUAAGCACAUUUUCCUCCCAAAUAGUAGUCGAAAUACAACUUUUUUUAAGAAGAAGAAACCGAAUCAUUCAAACUAAGAUAAUCCUAGGAUAAGAGUCAUUAUCUAUUAACAUAGAGCUAAAGUUACAAGGUUGAAGGCUAGAGGGAAGCCCGAAACAACCUAAUCUAACAAAGCUUAAAGUUAAGAGUUGGUAGUAACAUCAUAUUGGUUACAAGAUGAAUGACGCCUAGACCAAACUCCGAUCAAGUUACAUAUGUCUUCCCACAAGUAAACAAUAAACCUUGAUUUAUCCUUAAAAAUUCUAUUGUUUCUUUCUAUCCAAACAGUCCAAAGUAAGCCAGUUAUGGAGGGAGGAAUACACAUUAGAAAGCUCAGUUAUGGAUGGAGGAAUACACAACUUUUUCUCAUGGUCAUUUUCCUCGUGGGCAUUAUCUUCAUGUUUCUUCUUAUUCCGACUAAAAUACAAGCACAAAUUAUUCUUCGCCUUCGUAUAGGUUUGUUUGAAGAAGAUUAAAAAAGUCCUUAAUUUAUCUCGACACUUCCAAAACCAGAAUAUAAUACCCGUGCUACAUAAAUCCCUCUUUCCAAAUAGUCAAACAUGAACUAUCCAUGAAUAUCUUGAAUAAACAAGAGAAACCCUAACUAAACCCAAAUAGAAAAUACGCUGCAAUCUAAAAUAUACUUAAAGAAACAAAAAGAAGUUUUAAUGAUGUGGGUUUUUUACUGAUCUUCUUCAACAACAAAAUAACUCAACGCCACAGUUCAAUUUUUCCUUCCACGAAUUGGUUUUUAAAGAGUUUUCACCGCGAAUUUAUCUUUUUGGUUCAACAAGUAAACAACAUGUGAAUCCCCAAAUGCAAGGUUUUAUUAAAAAAUUAAAAUAUAAUUUUUUUAAAAAAAUUAUAAUACCUAAUUUUUUUUUAUAUAUUUAUAACCUAAUUUUCUGUCAUUGCAUACUUGAGAGAAAUAUAUUUUCAAUUAGCAUAAUAACCUUUAUAUAGUAAAUUAAAUUUGUAGAAUGAGAAAAGACCUUAGAUCCAAAAAAGUUAUUUAUUUAUUAUUGGAGUGAAUUGUCUAAUUAAUGUAGUUAAUGGAUGGUUUUGUAACCAUAAAAAUAAUGAAAAUAAUUUUCUAAAAGAAUGAAUGAAAAUUUGGAAAGUUAAAAGGUUUUAGGAAUUAAAAAAAGGGUGUAACAUUAUAAAAGACUACCAAAUAUACUGUAAGAGACAUGCAUUAAAGAAGCUAAGGCAUGCAUACUACCAAAUAUACUAUAAAUAAACCAGAAUUCUUUUUAAGAAAUUAAACAACUAAUUAAAUAUAAAGAAGAAAGAUUAGAAAAUGAAUGAUCAAACAAACUAUGACUCAUUUAUUUUUGACAGGUUCGGCCAGUAUCACCUGACAAUUCAUUUUCACCAAGAGAAUAAACAUGAGUAGCCUUGGAAUCAAGUUCCUCCGAUAAAAGCCACGGAGUUGAUGGGUUAGAGACAGAACCAGAAUUUGAGUUCAACGAUCUGGAUGGAAAAUUCUGAAACUAGCAGCAACAAGAAGUUAAGAUAACGAAUUAUUUUCAAUAUAGAAAGGCUAAUUGUAAGAAGUUGUUAAUGAAGUGUCCAAAUGCAUUAUGGUAAUAUUGGGUGCAGAUUGUUUGGAAGUUUUAUCCGUGUGCUGUGAAGCACCACAGAGUUGAAGCAUAUGAAACCAGUGUUUAUCUGACAAAAAAUAAUGUCAUGAUCAUUGCCUUUCCAUUCCAUAAAUUUAUGGAUAGCAAAAGAAAGAGAACUCUCAACACAUGAAUCACCAUAAAGACACACAUGACAACAUUAUUUUGGAUGAAGUUCUAAUAUUGCAACCAUGGAGGAAAAAUCAGCAAAUCUUAAAUAGAUGUAGUAGUCCAAAUGAUAAAAGUUUGUCUCAAGAUAAUAUUUCAGUAACUGCAGAUGCAUUGUGCUGAAUCUAACUCUUGUGUUUCACGGUAAUGAACAAGGACAAUGUGUUCAAAGGUCCUGAACAAAAAGCAGAAGCAAGUCAUAAUUAUAUAAGUAGAACACGAUAUACUGCCACUGUCUAAUUUCAUUUUUCUUUGCUUGUGGCAUGAUGGGGAUAGACCCCACUGAAACAACUGGUAGCAAGCAAUUUAACAAUUUUCUUUCAACCAUAACAUACUUAUCUAGGAGCCAAUAACCCGCGAACAAAGGUUGGGCUAUCUAGUCCGUGGCAUAGUAUACAUGUAUCCUUUCUACAUUACCAACCUGCUGAAGAGAAAGAAAAGAUUAUCAAAGCACACCUUUCCUUGGUUAUUAAGGCUGUAAAAGAAUGAAAAUUACCAUAAAUCUAAACAUAGUUAAUAUUAGACCAUUGAACAACUUAUAGAUUCAAAAGGAAAGACUCAAACCACCAAUAGACUGGUUAAUCAUUUAAAAUGAUCUCCAACAACAUGAUACGCAGUAUAUCGUGCUAGAUCCAUAAUUACCAGAUGUGGACUCCUAUGGUAAUUUCAUUGAUGAUACGCAGCUAGUAGGCAAGAUUAUGAAAUGAAGACGGUAUGUGAGACGAUUGAAAAGAUCAAGAUGAUAAAAUUAUAGGGAUUUGAAUUUAUAUCUUAAGAACACCAGAGUCAAAUGCUUAAGAUGAUUAACUGUGUUAAAUUUAACUCUAUAAUAUAUAAAUUAUUAGCAAAAACAGUAGAAAUUACUUCAAAUUUGUAGAGAGAACAUAUAAAUUAUAUUCUAGAGAAAGAGCAUCUGAAUUAUAUUCUACAGAAACACGAGCCCAUAGUAUAUGUACUGAGUAGCAAUGACAGUGAAAAAGGGAAUAGUAAGUAACUAAUCUCAUAAACCCCUUUCUCACAUCUAACCAAGUUCUUUCACAACAUGCAAAAGCAUCAAAAUAUUUAAGAAAACUUCCAAUAUUGCAUUUGGAACUCAUUGAUUGACUUCAACGUUUAAGAGUCCUAAAAGACACAGCUUACUUUCUCACCUCUCACCACUAAACCUAUGGCAACAUCUUUUUAUAAGAUAUUAAGCUAAUCUUUAGAUUGUUUACCGAAUAAUCGUCUAUUGUUUUGUAAUUGAUCCCACCAAGCGCUUACGCCACCUUGAAGUUUGAGAGCAACUAAUCGAACCUUCUUGUGUUCGGGUGUAUUGGCAUAGUCGAAAAAAAUUUCUACGUUCUUGAUCCAAUCAAGAAACUUCUCCACGUCCAUUUGACCAUUGAAGGUAGGGAGAUCCACUUUCAUACGUAUUUCUUGAUCUUCUUGAAAGUAUGGUCGAAGUCCAAGCCUUUGUUGAGGUUCUUGAUGAAUGUUCAGCAAGUUGUUCAUCGGAAGAGUCAGAAUCGUUUAAGAAAUUUCCAAGUACGUUGUUUCCAUACAAUCGAUUAUUGUUGAUGUGAAUAGGUUGAUUUCUUAGUAGUUCUUGGUUUACAACAGGGUUUAUUGGUUUUUCUUGUCUUUCUUGGUUUGCUGCAAUUGGGUUUCUUGGGGGCUGAAUUGCUUCUUCUAAAGGUUGGACAUGAAAUCGGGUAAAAAGGUUUGUUAAUUCUACUAACGAUUGCUGUAUAUUCGAUUGCCCUUUUCGAAGUUCUUCAAUAGCUUGUUCUACCAACUGCAAGCGUUGGUUGAAGGAGGCUUCCGCGUCCAUGGAUAAGAGUGGUAGGAUCCAAGUUUUUUUAGGGAAGAGUGAGCUAGGAUCACGCUCUGAUACCAAUUGAUGCAGUAAUUGCAAAGCUAGAAAUCUUUAUGUAUAAUGCCUCUUUUUUUAUGUCUUAUUAAUGAAAAUGAGAAGCUUUUUUAUAGGCUGGAGAUUACAAGAGUUGUUAAACUAACUUGGGGUUGAGUUAGUUUAACUUGGAGUUGAGUUAGUUAUAACUAACUCAAGAUACAAAAUUGGUAAUUCAAAUAACUAAUCCUAAACUAUAAAAAUGGUAAUUCAAACCCCUCCUCUAGGAUAAAACUCAAGAAACAUCAAGAAGGUAGAUGUUCUACAUCAAAGUGUAGAGAACGAUUCAAAAUCCUUGGUGAAAGGAAUGAAUGUUAACUAAUGUGUGUUUAUGUGAAAUUGUUAUGUUAUGAGUAUGUUAAGGAUAAAGAAUGGUUUAUGCGAGAUAAAAUUAUUUGAUGUUGUUUAUGCGAAAUGAUGUCUAUGAAAAGGUAUUGCGAAAAGGAUUUCAUAAAACCUUAGUCUUUUAGACAUUCUUUCAAAAAUUCAUCUUCCAAGAUGAGGUGUUUAGGCCAAGUAGAGAAGAAGGUUGAAGGAUUUGCAGCGAGAUGACCAGACGUUUUGAAAAUAGUUAAGCAUUGGUUGUUUGGUCAAAGUGUUGUAAUUAUGUAUCAAACACAUGUUAUUAAUAAACAUCUUGGUAGGUAUUUAUUAUACUAAAGUCAAAGUGUUGGACUUUAGUAUUGCAUGGACAUACAAUUUUGAAUGAAAAAUCCUUAUAAAUGGGGCCUUUGAACUCAUUUGAUGGGUUGGCUAUUAUAUUUGGGCUUUCACACCAAAUGGAAUUUCUUUUUCUUAUUUACUUAAAAAAAAAAGAAAAUUUACCACGCCCAUUUUUUUCAUCUAUUUCUCUCGUCCGGUUCUUUCAUCCAACGGGUCCCACAACUCGAUUAUGAGUCUAGAGGAUACUAAGUCAAACUUAGUGGUUGUUCGAAUAAAACGCAGCUUCAAAUGUAAGUAUUCUAAAAACCUUAUUUUUUGGUUUAGUCUCGUUAACUAAGCCCAAUUAGGGUAGAAUUUCGAUUCUUUUUCUGUUGUGCAUGUCUUAGUUCUAUCAGUAACUCCUUUCAGGGUGAUAGCUCUCAUCAGCAGACUUUCCAUUGCUGGUUUCUUCCUUAGUCAUCAUUGUAUUGUUGUUUUCCACAAUAGAUAGGGUGAGUUGCAGUUUUACAUGAAAUGCACUGCUCAACCCACACUCUUUUCUCACUAGUUCCUUAUUCUCAAUCUUCAACGCAAAUUUCAUCAUCUGGGCCAACCCAAUCGGUUCCACGGUUUCCACUUCCAUUUUUAUUCAUGGGCUAAGCCCAAUCAUCAAAGUCUCCUCUAACACUACCGUUUGAAGAAAUGCUACCAGAGCUAAAUAUCGAUCAAAUCGGUUGCGGUAUUCUUCUACAUUCAUUUCUGUUUGAUUGAGAAAAAUCUUCCAACCAAAGUUCCUUCUCGAAUUGAUCGAAACUGUACAAGCAUUCGUUCUUUCAGGUCAGCCCAAUUCUUAAAAACUUCCAACUCUUCUUGUGCUUGGUACCAAUCCAAUGCCAGAUCAUCAAAACUAAUAACGCCUGUGGUUAAUUUCUCUGAAUCGGUAAGAUCAUGUAUCUUAAAGAAGCGAUAGGCUCUAAAUGUGAGACCCAUUUCUAAUUUGAGUAAUGAAGUAAAAUUGGCUAGGUAUUAAGAAUUUGGCGUUUGAAUAAAUCAACGAAAAGGAUUAAGCGAUAAAAAAAUUUAUGGUUAAGUAUACGUUAUUGCGAUUCAGUGGGUAGUUCGCGAAGGAAGUUGUGCGACCCAUUUCUAAUUUGAGUAAGGAAGUAAAAUUCGGCUAAGAAUUAAGAAGUUGGUGUUCAAAUAAAUCCAUGGAAAGAUUAAGUGAUAAGAUCUUUUACGGUUAAGUAUACUUUUUUGCGAUAAGUGGGUAGUUCGCGAAAGAAGUUGUGCGAUAAUGUAACACCCGAACUCUAAGGUAAUUAAUUUAAUCGGACCAUUCGAUAUUUUUACUCUUAAUUUUUGUUCGACGUCAUUUUGUUGUUUUGUCUUAAAAAAAAAAGUGUUGGAAAAGUCUUUCAUAAUAAUAAUAUAUUAUUAUUAUUAUUAUUAAUUAGCAUAAAAAAAAGGAAAAGAAAAAGAAAUUAAAAUAUCUUUUUCCUCUCUCCCCUCUCUCACGCGUGCGACACCCUCUCUCCAUCUUUUUCUUCUUCUCUUUCCUGUACCCUAACCCAGCCGACCAUCAUCUUCUCCCCUUCCCUUGCCGUUCAGAUCCAUGGCCUCCGCCCACCGCCGCGUGACCCUCUGCCCAGCCCCGCCGCGUGACCUCUGUCUCCGUCGAAGCCAAGUCCAGCCGUCGUCCAUUCCUUUCCUCUCUUCUUCUCCGUUCGUGAAGCCCAGUCGCCGCGUCAGAUCGUCGAUCGAUUUUGAGGCAGCGCGCACGCCUCCUUCUAGCCGCGCGUUUCCUCUUCUUCCAGCAACGUGUUUUUUCUUCUAACCGCGAUUCACAAACCGACGUACACUCUAAUCUGUUUGCACGAUGGUUUUUGUUUAGAAUCGAUUGCCGCUGCCCCUAUUUUUACUGAGAUCCGUCGAAGUAUUGUUGGUAAGAUUGAAGUUAUGAAAUUGUAGUCGUUUUCAAAACAAUUUAAGUAUGGGUUGUGAUGUUUUCAAGGUGUUCAAACGUUACGGAUGGGUUAAUUGACUAAUUUGAUAAAUUAUUCUUGAAGGUGUGAAAGGUAACCUUGGAUCACUUAAAUUCACAACCAAUUUGUGAAUUUUGAUUUCGAUUUCGUUUGCCCUUAUUUGGAUUGUUUCGUGGACGAUAGUUGAUUAAGGGAGCUUCCCUAACUUUGAGGUAAGGGACUUUCUACUGGACUCACCUAAAGUUUUUGAGUUGUGUUGGACUGUAUGGAUGAUGAUUAAGAUGUACACGUUUGGUUGCAGACUAAAUGUUUAGUGUAUGUUGUAUUUGACUGGAAACAUAUAUAUAAAUACAUUGAUGUGUGAAUUGAUGUGGAUUGCCGAAAGUAUACAUGUGAAUGACUGAAAUUAUGCUUAUGUGUACAUGAUGAUAUUAAUAGAUUGUGCUGUAUAAAGAUUUGGAUGUGAACUAGUGAAUUUGUUUCGGUUGAAUGUGGAUUAUACUGAACUGUGGUUUGCGCUGGUAAAAAUGAGGGGUGUUGUGACUUUGUUGUUUACUUGACAGAUGUAUUAAAAUGUUAUCAACGACCUUCGAACUUAAGUGAGAUAGGUUGACUGUUAGAAUGUUGAGUGAAAGAACUUUAUAUUUUGAAGUAACUGAAAGAUGUCAUAAAUUACCGUAAAGAUGGUUAGAAUGGAUUGAGGGGAAAAAUUGUUAGUUUUAUUGGGAUGUAUGCCUUGUAGGUGUCCUACGGGAUCACCAAUUUUUAUGCGACCUUCGGAGCAUUAGACUGAUAUGUGUUUCUGCAGAACACUAGACUGAAAUGUACGUCCCUCGGGGCGUUAGACUGAAAUGUGCAUCCUACGGGAUCACAAGACUGCGACUGUACAGGGUGUCCCAAUAGAAUGUUAACAAUUUAUUUUCCCCUGACGGGACCAGUAGAGGGUCUCUUACUGGGUAUUUUUAUACUCACCCUCCUUAUGUUUAAUUUUUCAGGCAAAGGUAAUAAAGGCAGCAAACCGGCGAGGGGCAGGAAGGAAGCGUGACCGCCACAGGGGACACUUUAAAAUUUUGCUUCCGCUUAGUGAUUUAUAGUAUUAUUUGUAUUCGAACGUGAGACUGUUUAGAAAAUUUUGAAGUUUUAAAGUAUUCAAAGAUUUGAAACUUUUUAGUUUUAAAUUUUCAUGUGAAUUUUAGUAAUUUAAAACUGGGGCCCAAACAAACAAAAUAAAUUUUGUUCUUUUGAGGUUUUAAAUUUUAAUUAACCAAGGUCUUUUGUCAAAAGUUAAUGACCUCGACUUAGGUAAAAAGUUGGGUCGUUACAGAUAAGAAGCGAAAAAGUCUUUGCGUAAGUUAAGAAAUGAAAGUUUUGAGUGUUAGACUAGGAGUUUUGGGUGGUCUUCGCGAGAAGAACCAAGUGUUUCGUGGAGAAGAAGUCUACGAGGAAGCCUUGGAGUUUAAGUUCGUGAUAAGAGUUUUAUGCGAGUAAAAGUUGGUUAGUUCAGGUGGAACGUUUCUUAUAAUAAAAAUAUAAUCAAGCGAUAAGGUUAUUCACGAGAAAUGUUAAGUGGUUGAAUUUAUUCACGGUUUGGGUUAGGCGGGGAGCAAGGUUUGUAAAGAAAAUGUCAAAUCUGAUUUGACAUGGGUUAACAUGUAAGAUUAAGGAUUUGAGCAUGACUAGGUUAAAUAUUAAGGAUUUGCAUGACUAAGUUAGUAUAAGGGAUCUAUAAAAUAGGAGAAUUUAGGUAACUAAGGAGGGGAUGACGAGAGUUUUGUUGAAAUGUUAAAGUGUUGUUGGUUUAGCCACGCGAAAAGAUGGUUGUGAGAAGGACUUCUUUAGUGAAGUUUGGUGAGUGCUUUUCAGUCAAAAGAAUUUAUGUUAAGAAACUUUAUUACGAUUUCUCUUUACUGAUUUGAAAGAAGAAUUCAGAUGAGAAUGUUUCAGAAAGAUUUCUACGAAAAGUUAUGUUUUCAAGCAUUAUUUAUAAUAUUAAAGCUUGAUUUGAUGACUAUGAUUUCAAUACUAUGUUUCUUUGAGAUGAUGCUAACUUUUGUGUGCACAUAAAGAGUGAAGGCCACCAUGGAGUGUACAAACUACAUGGUAAUAAGAAGCUGACUUAUGCAUUGAAAUGAGCGUAUAAAGCUUAGCGGUAUAGCAACAAAGACGAAUUUGUAUGUUCUCAGAUGUUGAUACAGUAGUCUAAACGCGAGGUAAUGAGACCAAGCGUAGAGAACGAUUCGGGAUCCUUGACAAAAUGAAAUGAUUUUUUAAGCAUAAAGAAAGGUUUAUUCGAAAUGAAAUAAUUUUUCGGUAUAUUUAAAUGAUUUGAUAUUAUUUUUACAAAAUGAUUAUGAAAAGGUAUUGUGAAAGGUUUUCAUAAAACCUUAAAGGAUUUAAAAAAAAAGUGGACCAUUCAACUUAAUUCCCAUCCACUAUCCUCUUGUCCAACAUGAAACUUUAUCUUAGUAAAACUUCUUGAUCCACUAUUUUACAAAAAUAUUCAAAACAAUACCAUACUACACCAAAUGUGAUAUUUUGGUAACACUUAAAAUGGUCAGAAAUACCAUUUUCCUGACUUUUUUUUCAUCGACCAUUAAAGAAAAAGUAUAGAUGAUGUUUCACAAAAACUUCCAAACCAUUGUGUUAGUUAUCGUUUUGGAUGAGGGUUGGGGUAGAGCAUCAAUACUCAAAGGUUGUUAAGAAUUAAGACCUAAGACUUGAAAACGAAACCGCCUGCCUGGUUGACAACAACACCAUCCCACUAGAGUGCACAAUGAUGAUUUAUUGCAUUAAGAAGAAGAUGGCAGUUAACCUUAGCGCCAUAAUCAGAACCUCAAUCCUCCCUUUGAUGAAAGCACCUAAAGGUGUCAUGCCUUUCCCCUCUACCACAUUGAAGCUCUUUGUCUAACACUACAAGAAAUGAGGACUCUCUCGAUGCAUAAAAUCAUUGGGAGAUAUAUAAAAAGCGUCAGAAAAGGCUUUUCUGACGCACUAAUAUACGUCGGAACACAAGUGAGGAAAAUGUAUCGGGAGAGGAACUCCGAUGCACAAUGUUGUGCGUUGAGGGUUUCUAGACAUCUUCCGACGUUGUAUGAACGUCGAAGAUGUUGUCAAUAUAGCAUCGAGAGAUGUCUAGGAACCAUGCGUCGGGAGAUCCUCUAUUUUUUUUUAAAAAAAAUAACUUCAUUUAAUUCCUAAAUUCAAAUUGAAAAUUUUAAAUUCAAACUCAACUUCAACACUUCAACCUCAACUUCAACACUUCAAUCUCAACUUCAACACUUCAAAUUCAAAUUUCUAAAACCUACAACUAAUUCAAAAUUCUAACAACACUUGAAAUUAAAUUUCAUUACUAAAACUUACAACUAAUUCAAAAUCUAAAUACUAAAGAAAUCUAAAAUCUAACACCUAAAACAAAUUUGAAAUCUAAAUACUAAAACUAAUUAACUAAAACAAAACAAUAACUAAACUAAACCACUUACCGAUGGCGACGACGACGGGACGACAACAGGGACGACAAUGGUGAUGACAAUGCCCUCUUCUUCUCAAUCUUCCUCUCGGUCUCCCUCUCCCUCUCUCAUUUUCUUUCUCUUUAUGUUUCCUUUAUGUAAAGAAUGGAGUUAAAAAAGACAGAGAACUCCUGACGCACGACGAAAACGUCGGGAAUAGCACCCUAUUCAUGACCUGAUUUGUUAAACGUCAGAAAUCCCUAAACAUAUUCCCACGCGAUUAAUGAUACGUCGGGAAUCCCUAAAUCUAUUCUCAACGUUGCUGCCACACGUAAGAGGAAGGCGUUACAUACAAUUAAUGAUCUGCCCUUCCUCCGACGGUUCCUAAGCUUUUAGCUUUUCUGCAAUCACCCCUUAUGCAUGUUCUCAGGCGAAUCUCAACCAAACCAUAACACUCCAUCAAAAUAAAGAAGAAGAGAGACACCUCAAAACCUUAAAUAAAGUUAAGGGAGAAGAAUGGAAUGACAGAGAAGAAGAAGAGGCUUCUCCGCUGCCACCACUACUCAAGAGGAGAAAUGUCCACGAUGACGCGUCUAACUCGUAUAAAAAGGAAAAAAGUCGAAAGCUAGACGUGGCCAUCGACCCUAAACCUCUUGCAAUCUGACCCCUAACUCUCUCAUUGCCUCCUCCAAAAUCCAAAUCCUUCAAUUCCAGUCCUCAUCCAAAAAUUGAAACUCCCCCUCAUCAAUCUUACCCAAGUCCUCUCGCAUGUCUAUUAUCCUCUCACCACCAAAUCCCCCAUCAUUAUAACAACAUCCUUCACCUCACGACCUGACCGAACAAGCCCUUACCCGAUCAAAAGGGCAUUGUUAGCGAAGAAGAAUUCCUUAGGGUUGAGGAGGAAGACCUGCAUCACAUUCCUCUCCCUCCGCACACUACUAUACGUAAUUCCAAGGAGGAAGACUUACAUCUCGCGUGUAAACACCGAUACCCAAUAAUCCUUAAUUCAUCUAAAGAACUCAAUAGGACAUUAGGGGUUGAUGUUAGGAGAAAGAUGGUUUAAGAUUGGAUAGUUUAGUUGAAGUGUUAUGGAAGAUGUGUUAAUAUUUUUAAGAUGAUAAAAGAAAAGUGUCAUCGUAACAAAGAAAGGCCUAAAGGGUGUUCGAAAAUUGGCUAAGUGUUGGCUAGGGCAUGUUGCAUACUCUAGGCGGCCAAAAGUGUCAAGCGAACCUCUAAAGAGACAUGUUGGGUGGCCAAAGGUUGAGAUGUGGUAUGGCCGAAAGGUGUCAAGACAACCUCUAUAAGACAAGGCUAUAUGACCAAGGGUAUGCGCUAGGCAAGGAAGCUAAGCAUCUAGGAAAUGUCAAGAAACUCUAAAGAAGUUAGAACGUGGAUAAGGAAUGUCAUGCAACAAAGAGGUGGGCUAUGUGGACAUAGGUCAUGCGGCCAAUGGGGCAAUUCAACCAAAUGCUAGUCAAGAUGGCAUGGUUUGUUGAAGGCAUUGAGGGAUGUUUGGGAGAUUAGGCGAGAAAAAAAAGUCUUAGGCAUUCUUGGCAGUAAGAAUUUACUAAAGAACCCUCAUAGAAAAAGGGAUAUGCGUCCAAGGAUGACUUAAGCAAUAUGAGGUAAGAUGUGCGGUAGAGUACAAGUGGACAACAUACAAGAUACCUAAGUUUUGCCAAAUAAGUGUCUUGCAUGAGUUGGAAAGUGGCAAGUAUGGGCGUAAGAGGUGAGAAAAAAAGGUUCAACCAAAGAGCAUGCAAGGAUCACUAUAUGUACAACUUUGGACGAAUUAUGUUAACAAUCAACUUGUGUUAAUUGGGUAACUCUACUUCGAAAAUCUCCUAAAUUGAGUGUAGUAUCAAGAGAAAGGCUACCAAGAAGAAAGGCAUUGAAGUGAAGAAAGACUCAAAGGUCAUUUUCAAAAAAAAAAAAAAAAAAACUUGAACAAUGUAGAGUAUUUUGAGCUACAUAACUCAAUACUUGGAAUUUGUUAGUGACACUUUGUGGUAAGCUAGUGAAGACAUUCUAAGUAAGUUUGUAGAAGGAAUCUUAUUGAUUUAAGCUUCAAAGUCGAGUUAAGUUUCUGGUAGAAAAAUCAUAUUUCUAGACAAGGCCAUGGGUGGGUUGAUUGCCAGGAUGACAAGGUGAGAUGAGCGUGUGUUUUGAGCGAAAGAGGUUAUUUAGGCUUGGGACAUGCAAGAAGCAUGUCCUGGCAUGAUCAAGCAGCCUGAGCCACGCGUCAUUACACACUCUAUUAUGAAAGUUGAGUAUAUUGCUACUUGUGAAGCAGCAAAAGAAGCAGUUUUGGUGAGGAAGUUCUUGCAUAAUUUGGAAGUUGUUCCAAACAUGAACAUGCCCCAUCACUUUAUAUUGUGAUAAUAGUGGGGCAUAUUACUAAUCCAUUUACAAAGACUCUCAUGGCUAAAGUGUUCGAGGGUCUUCUAGAAAGUCUAGAUCUGCGAGUUAUGUACAUUAGGUAAUCUAGGAAAAGUGGCAGAUGUGUAAUGGGUAUGAGGAUGCCCUAGUUUAUUGUAUUUGUAUAUACACAUUUUAUGUAAUACACUUGUACAUUUUACCAUUUUCAAUGUUAGAGGAUUACUUUAUUAUGAACAUCCCAAAGAGACGAGAGUUUUAGUCCAAGUGGGAGUUUGUUGGAAUUUAUGUCCUAAAACUCGUAGAUUGUAAAUAUAAUCCAUUGACCAUUGUUAAUAAAGUGUUAUUAUUGUAAUAAUUGUUAUUGAUUAUAUUAUUAGUUUUGUCUUAAUAACUCAAAUCCAAUAAACUAACAUCCUAAACUGUUUAAUAAGUAUUGAAUAGUAUGUAGAGACAUACAGGGAUCAAUGUUCGAGAUCAGCUUAAAGGGUCUAUAGUAUACGGAUAAGACUGGGUACCUUUAUCCUGGUAACAUUAUGAAUACGACUCACUUUGUAUUUGAUACAAAUACAAUGAUCCAAUGUGUUCAUGUAGUUGACAUGCGAGUGAAGGUAUCCUAUGCAAUGAGAUUGCAAUAGACUAGACUGUGAAAUAGUAACCACUUGGUGUUACUACAUUAACUAGUUAGGUUUCUAUUUCACUAGGAUGACCUAGAUAACUUAGUCUUAAUCUUGAGUGUAUUAUGAACUCAAUGAUCUUGGAUGAAUUUGACUUCAAAUACAAACUUGGAUUCCACAACCUAAACCAAAAUAAAAUAAUAUAUCAUGUUAAGAUGGAUUCACAUAGCAACAUUUUAUCAAAUGGUUGCAAUGUUUCAAAUAAGCAACAAUUAAAAUUCACAUAUCGAUUUGGCAUCUAUAAAUAUACAAACUAAAAAGUACCUAAAUGUCAAUUAUUUACCCAAUAAGGCUAACUAAGUAACCAACGUCUAAUAUGUUUUGCAAUGAAAAAGGUUGCCAUAUUGUUAAUUUGGCCAUAUUGUGAAGGCAACCUCUUAGAUGUGUUUGUGAGAAAGGAAAGAAAUACCAAAAUAAGUAUGGACUAAGAUAGUAUCAAAUAAAGUUAAAGUUGAAUUUUAAAGCUCUAUUUUUUUCAAGAUAGAGAAAUUUCAGCUAAAGAGGAAAACACUAAGGACAACCAAGCAAAAAAGUCUAACAAAUAUCAAAAGAGAACAUGCAGGAAAGAAAGAAUGUAAAUAAGGUUUUAUCCGCACCAAGCAAAAAAGUCUAACAAGUAUCAAAAGCUUCAUAAGUUGUACUAGAAUUCAAAGCUCUAAACUCUAAAGAAUGUAAAUUUCUUUGAAGAAAUUUGUGUAUAAAGGUCACACAGUUGAAAAUUCAAUACCUUUUCAAGAAUGUUGUUGAGAAGAUUAUUGUGAUGAAUCUUUGAAUCCAAAUUAUGGAGACAAGAUAAAUAAAUGAGUUCUGAUUCUAACUGACUGAAUGAGAGUUUAGAAAAUAAGAACAUUGGAGUUGAAUUAUCAGCAUUUAUUUUAAUCAAACUUACGAUAGCAAACCAAAUUAUAGAGAGAGAUCAAAUGCUAGGAUAAAGGAAUAAUCUUACAUUUGGUGAGUUCCCAAAUGUUGUGGUAGUCACGAGAGUUAUUCCACUCGAAUUGUCUUAGACAAGAGGCUUCCAUUCAGCAAGUACUGGUGAGAAUUAAAGUGGAAUGACAAACUUAAAAACACCUAAUCUUUAACAAACUUUUCCGACUUUUUGCAAUUAUUUUUUAACACAAGAUAUCAAAACACACUUAAAAACCAUAACAACCAAUUACCAUAAAACGGUGUCCAAUAACAAUAAUUGGGUCAACCCAAACAUCAUCAAAUUCUUGGGAAAGGUUGUGGACUAGACCUUCACCAUCUUGCCCCUAAAACAAGUUAAAGCUUAAGGAAAGAACACAGUAGAAACAAAAAUCAUAAACUCAUCAGUUAGAUAGUAUUGGUGGUCAAAACCUCAAGGUCUCACUUCUUCCAUUUUAUAUUACCAAAUUUGAAAAUGAUUUUUAAUAUAUGAUCAUUACUUGAAACAUGUUGGUGUACAAGUGUGAAUGAAACUAAAUCAAGUUUGUGUUUUAUGUUAUUGUUUUUGACAGUAUAUUUAUGUGCUAUGCAAUCCAUGAGAGUAUAUUUAUGUGCUAUGCAAUCCAGAAGGGGGAAUGCAAGCUAUACCCAAUUCAUAAUUGUAUUUGGAACACUAAUGAUUUUAGCACAAAUUCCAUCUUUCCAUUCUCUAAGACAUAUAAACCUUAUCUCCCUCACUCUAUACCUUGGCUAUAGUGCUCUUGCAACAUAUUAAAAUUCUCGUAAUUAAAAAUUCAUACACAAUUUAAAUUAAAUUAAACAUCAAGACCCCUGACGAAGAUGAAUCUCUGUUCAUUUUUCUUUUUAUUAACAAACAAAAGUUUUUAGGUCAACUUCUUUCAACAACCUCCUCAAGGAUCCUUAAUUAUCUCUUUCCAAGUUCAUAACCACUCUAGUCAUGCAAAGAUUAAGGUUCAUGGCCAAUCAACAAUUAAUCUGUGAUUAAGAUAUUAUGAACGCUAUUCACAUAAAAACAUGAAAAGAUUAAGAGCAAAUAAUCAGAUGCAUUACAAAGAAUAAUUCAUAAACUUUGUCUACAUCUAUCCCUAGGAUUAAGAGUUUAGCUACCCCAUACUUCACAAUCUAAAACACAAAACUCAAUACAAUACCCAUAAAAAAAAUUAAAGGAGAAGAAAAAGAAAACGAAGAAGAAAAGCUAGUGAUUCGUAUUAUUAUAAUACUGUGUAUAACAGUAUGUGUUUUUUAAUAUUCUCUGUUUCCAGCUCCAAUGUACCAAAAUAUUAUCACAAACUCCACAAUCCUUCUCUUUCCAAUCCCUAAACUAACCAAUGAAUCAUAUUCGCACGCUUGGUAGCCUUGUUCAAAAUAUUAUAUAUUACAAUUAUAAUAACUUGUAUCCCCCCUUUUCAAGCCUAAAAUGCAAAACCUUUCUUCCAUUCUCUAAGGCAUAUUUCCUCUUCUUUAAUUUUGCAUUCCAAUUUUAAAUUACAAAUUACAAAUUUUAAUCACAAAGGAAAAAAGGAAAAUUAUUACCUUUAGAAAGGGAAGAAAAUAAAUGAGUAACCAUGAAGGAUUUGGAAACGAAUAGAGGUUUAGCGAAAGUGGAAUGCGACAGAAGGACGGUGAAUGUGUUUACUCGUUUUCGAACAGAGAAUGUGUUUACGCAUUCCGAACGGUGAACAGACGGACGCAAAUCAACGAAGGUGAAGGGAACGCAAAGCAGACGGACGGUGACGGACGAUGAACGCAAAUGAAUGAAGGUGAAUGCUUAUGAACGCGAAGGGAAGUCUUUUCCGGCGAUGAACGCAGAUGAAUGCACAGAUGAACGCGAAGGGAAGGUUAGGUGAACGACGCUUUUGAUUUCGGGUGGAGAAGGGACAAAGUCGCGGCGAAUUAGGUUUAAUUAAGAAAAGGGGAAGUGAUCUAAUUGAAACGUUGGGUUUUGUAAAAGAAUAUUAACACAAUAAUUUUUUAGAAAUUUCUUGACGUUUUUAAAACGUCAAAAACAAAUUAAAAUUUCUUGAACUUUUUAAAACAUCAAUGAUUUUUUAGAAUUAUCUUGACGUUUUAAAAACGUCAAGAAUUUUUUAUAAAUUUCUUGACGUUUUUAAAAAUGUCAAGAACUUUUUAGAAUUAUCUCGACAUUUUAAAAACGUUAAGAAUUUUUAUAAAUUUCUUGAUGUUUUUAAAACGUCGAGGAAAACUAUAUAUUAUUGACGUUUAAAAAACAUCAAGAAAGUUGAAUUCAUAAACAUUCUUGACGUUUUUUAAACGUCAAAAAUUAUUAGAUAUUUCUUGAUGUUUAAAAAACGUCAAGAAAAAGUACAUCUUACUUGACGUUUAAUUGCAUAAAAAACGUCAAGAAAAAACGUCAAGAAAGUUGAAAAUUGGCCUUUCAUAAAAAUUCUUGACGCUUUUUUAUUUGAAAUCACAUCUUUCUUGACGUUUUUGGGAAAAAACGUCAAGAAAGGAAAACUACAACCGUCAAGAGAGCCUGUUUUUGUAGUAGUGAUUUUGGGGACAAGACUGAGUGGGGAGUUGGGAUUAUAAUUGCACAAAAUGGAAUUCACUCAUUUCCUACUGUAGGAUAAGUAGAUGAAUGUUAGCUUAAAUGGUGUCUCCAAAACUUAAACAAAGGGCCCGUACUCUCUCUAUGACAUGAGAGGGGUUUUUGUUUAUUAGUAGGACCAUAAACAAGUUGUUCAUUAGAGGAGCACUAGUUUUUAAGGAUUAGAGGUAACAUAGGGGUAAAGCGGUAAAUUGAUCCAACUGGUGUUACAAACACUCGUGAAGGACUAACUUACUAUUAUUGGUCUAUAUCCGUGGACACAGAAAUAUAUUUUUAGUGAGAAGAGUUCAGUUGUGAGUCUUUAGUGGAGUGUACACACAACUAACGAAUAUUGAUUAAUGUGGUUAAUGAGUUUAGCCAAUUAAUCUUAGAUCGUUGUAGCUUCUGAUCUGUAGGUCCACUAGGUCCCUUUCCUAGCUCGUAAAGGGUAAUGAGAUUUAUUUGUAUUAGUUGUAAUUUAAAAUGUUUAAAUUUAACUUGGGAAUUAGUAUAAUGUAUAGUGAUACAUUAUAAUAUAAAGUUUAUCAAACUUUACUAUAUAAAUUUAACUUUGGGGAUGAUUUAAAAUUAAUUUAUGAGAGAUAAAAUAUUUGAAUGAGUUCAAAUAUUAAUUUAAUGUAAAUUGGAUUCAUAUUAAAAUUAUUGAGAGAAACUUAUAUUUGAAUAUGAUUCAAAAUUAAUUUAAGUUAAAUAUAAGAUAAAUAAUUUAAUGUUAUUAGUUAAUUGGAGAAUUAAUUAAUAGUUUAGUUUAAUAUUAUUUAAUUAAAUGUGAUUUCAUUAAUUAUUAACUAAUUGAUUAAUGUUUAAUUAAUCAGUAGAUUUGAAAUAUAUAUUAAUUUAAUUGUUUGUAAAUUAAUAGAAUCUCAUAGUUCUCUUCUACUUCAUUUUUUAUUCCUAGAAGGAAAGAGAGUUAUAAUAUCUAGAAGAAAACAAUUUUCUUAAAAAAUGAAUAUAAUAAAAAAAGAAAAAAUAAGGCUAACGCUAUUGCUCUUUGCAAAAAGAAAAGAGUUUCUCUCAAUAUCUCUAAACUUUUUCCCAUCCCAAUUGGUUCCACAAACCAAUCUUAUCACAGAGGUACUCUUUGCAAUUUAAGCUCUCUUUGCAAUGGACAGUCUUCAAAGUUUUUUUAACGAUGUUUCUAAUGCUUUCCUUUCUCUCUCAUGUUUAAUAAAACAAAUUUCUCUUAAAACCUGUAGGGAGGCUACAUCGUAUCGAAUUUCAUACAACUGACGUGUUCAUCGAGUUACAACAAGUGCCGCACAAUAGUCUGUUCCAUGUUUGAAAAGUUGUGAGUGUGACACGCUGCACAUGAGGUUAGAACGAGACAUGGCAAGGCAAGCUCUACGCGCACCUGCCAACUUCUGCCACAAUAUUUUGUACGCAAGCUAAUGUCUUUGGGCUGUUUUUAUGGUAUUUGGAAAUUUUAAGCAAAGUUUUGAUAUUUUUAUGAUCAACAGGAAUUAAAUGGAAUUAUUUCCCAUUAUUUUCAUUAUUUUAGAUCAGAAGGAGAUCGAACAAAUUUAUAAGCCAAGGGUCCAAGCUACUCUCUAUAAGUGACAAAAAUGAGUUUAAAGUUGAUUUCUAAACAUGAAUUUACUAUCAAAUGUUUCAAGCAUGCUUUGAUGUUUGAAUAUUUGAGGAUACUGACUUAUAAAGUAUUUCCAAAGCAUGAAUUUAGAAACAUUUUGGUAAUGAAAAUUAUAAGCAAUCAUGAUUGUGCUAAGUUAUCAAAAUGUUUAAGCUUGAAAAUAAUAUUAGCAUGUUUUAGUCUAUACCUAAAAUAUUCUAAGAUAUAUAGCAACCCUUCGGGAGAGAUUUUCUUGUGCAUAGAGGUCAUUUGAUUUGGAUAUUCAGUAAAUACCUAGCUUUCCAUCAUUGGUAUUAGAUAAGAGAUGAAGACUUCUAAAGAUGCUUAGUUUCCCAUCUCAAGGGACGAGACCCUGUACGAAUGCCUAGUUUCCAUCUCAUUGUAGUUAUAACGAGAUAGGGCACAAUUGAUGCCUAGAGUUUCAUCUCGUAAGUAUCGUAUCACGGGAUAGGGCUUCUAUGCCUAGUUUAUUGUUUUUCGUCUUGACGAUUCUAGUAUAGCAACUGAAAGGGAAAGUUUGAGAUAAGUUGUUUGAGUUUGAUUUCAUUUAUGUUAAGAGUUAAUUGUUAAAUACUUAUUAUUUCAAACAAUGUUUUAUAAAACAAUCACUCAUUGGGCUAUUUAGCUCACUCUUUGGAUAAAUAUCCCCAUAUGGAUUACGUUGUUUGGAAAAUUAAACUGUCUUUAGUACUUCAAAGAAAACUUCCCUCCCAUGUCCUCUCACCUCAUGUCAUCCCAUUUGUGUUGAUAACAUGAAAAAUAUUUAGCACCUUUUAAUUGAUUAUGUCUUUGUAUCGAAAUGUUGGUUCCGUCUUCUCCAAACAUUCAAUAUUUGUUGGGAUUUUUUGCUCAAUCAAGGCUUAUUCUUGUUUGUUCUCGACCUGCUACCUAUGAUUUAUGAUUUUGUUUUGGACAUAUUAUUUUAUCAUUUUGUUUGGUUUUAUAUUUGUGGCUUUUUUUUUGUUUUGUUUUGUGUUUUGUUUUUUUUUUUUUUUGAAAAGGAGACAACCUCUUUAUUAAUAUUAAAAUAAUAAAAUAAUUAGACAAAAGCUCAUGGUACAAGAGAGUUAUACAAUGAACAUGUAACCAUGGAUCAGAGGGUGCACCUUGGCAUCUCAACUAGGUUGACACCCCCAUAGCACCCUCAUCAUAUCCAACCAAGCUAAAACCCAUAACAAAGGAGUAAUGUCCAAAGGCAAAACAAACACAAAAAAAGCCUUCUAUUUGUGGCUUUUGUUUUGAUCUUGUGUUGUCGCUUUUUGGAUGUGAUGAGGGCGCUAAGGGGGUGUCAACACUCAAACCUUAUGACGUAACAAAUGCAAAUUUUAUGACGUUUUUAGGGGUAGUCCCUCCCAUUACUAGCUCAACACUCAAACGGAGUCUCCUGUAUAAAAUAUAAAAUAAUACAGACACAAAUAGUGAAUGAAAUCUUAUGACGUAACAAAUGCAAAUUUUAUGUAUACUGCAAUUGACUAAAUAUUGAACAAGAAAGCCCAAGGGAAUACAAAAAAAUCCAACGUUUUUAGGGGUCAAUUUGAAAAAUGGCAAAAUUACUUUUUCUUUUCAAUUUUAGCAAACAACAUUUUUUGCACGUGCAUGGUAUUUUAUAAAAUACCAGAAUAUCAACAUUCUUCAACUGUAGUUAUUUCGUUUCUACAUUGUAAUUAAUUUAUGUUAUGCAUUUAUCAGUUUUUAAUUAUCUUUUACUUGAAAUAGAUACAUCAACUCAUAUCAUAAUAUUUUUCUUAAUAUCUCGAGUCUCAACUAAUUAAUUCACAUAUUAAUAACUUUAUUCAAUCAUACUAAUUUCAAAAUAACCUAAUUGAAUUUGAAUUUCAAAAUAACAAAAUUAUUAUUUUUCGGAAUUUGAGAGUCUCAACGAUAGAUUUUGUAUUAAAAUAACCUUAAUUGAAUUUCAAAAAUAAAAAAUAUCAACAUGUUCACUAUCUUUAUCUCAAAAUAACAUUAAUGCCUUGAAUAUCAAGAUAAUUAAAUUAUUAUUUAAAAUUGGAAGAAACUCAACAUUAAAAAAUAUUAACUUGUUCGCACACAAGCAUAGAAGCACUGCGCACACACGUACACAUGCACACUUACACACACGCGCACACACGCACAUCUACACACAGACACCCACAGACACACGAACGCAUGCACAUACACAUGCACACGCGCACGCAUGCACAUACACAUGCACACGAGCACGCAUGCACACGCACACACCUAUCCACACGCGCGCACAAGCACACACACAUGCACAAACGCACACACGCGUACGCACAAACGCACACACUUAUACACAUACGCACACGCGCACAAACACGCACGCACGAGCACACACACACCUAAGCACACACGCAAUAGCCUGCGCACACACACGCACGCACAAACACAUACAAACAUGCACACACCCACACAUAUAUGCACACGGACACUCGCAACAAACGCACGCACAUACACAUACGCACACCUACCUACACGCACACACGUACACACGCACAUAUGCAUAAAGAUGUAUAAAUGAGUUAAAAUUAAAAAAAAACUACAUUAAUUGUGUUUAGAAGGACUUUUAAACCAUGUUCAUUUGACUUAAUAACAUUAAUUAAACUAUAAUUUCUAUCAAUAUUGGCUUAAAAAGUGUCAUUCGUGUAAUUAUUUCAAUAUAAUGCGAUUUUAUCCAAUUCUAUUUGCAACAAACAGGUCGAAUAUGAACCAGUAGAUAUACAUGUCAUAAGAGAUAUAGGAACAUUUUUAUGGUCAUUUUGAAAAAUGCAAAACUUUUUGUAACGACCCAACUUUUCUAGGUAAGUCGAGGUCAUUAAUUUUUAAUAAAAGACUUUGUUGAUACAAAAUGAAGCGUAAGUCAAUUUAAAAAAAAAUAUGUCAGGCCUGAUUUUCAAAUAUCAAGAAAACUUAAAAAUAACACUAUUUACAAAUAAAAGUUUGUAAACUAAGUUUUUAGUACAUCUUAAACCUUAAAAGAAACAUAAGCGGAAGCAAAAUACACAUUUCCUAUGGCAAUCACGCUUCCUUCCUGCCCCUCGCCGGUUUGCCACCUUUAUUUCCUUUGCCUGAAAAUUAAACAUAAGAAGGGUGAGUAUUUUAAAUACUCAGUAAGAGACCCUAUACUGGUCUCGUCAGGGAAAAUAAAUUGUUAAAGUUCUAUUGGGACACCCUGUACAGUCGCAGUCUUGUGAUCCCGUAGGAUACACAUUCAGUCUAACGCCCCGAAGGACGUACAUAUCAGUCUGACGCCCCGAGGGACGUACAUAUCAGUCUAACGCCCCGAGGGACGUACAUAUCAGUCUAACGCCCCGAGGGACGUACAUAUCAGUCAAGUGUUCUGCAGAAACACAUAUCAGUCAAAUACUCCCGAAGGUGCAAAAUAAAUUGGUGAUCCCGUGGGACACCUACAAGGUAAACAUCCCAAUACAACCUAACAAUUUAUCCCCUCAUUCCAUUCAACCCAUCUUUCAGUUACUUCAAAUCACAAAGUCCUUUCUUUCAACAUCCUAACAGUCAACUUAUUUUACUACAGUCAUAUGUCUGUCAAUAAUAUGCUAAUACAUCAGUCAAUCACUAUACAGUCAAGUCAAUACACCCCUCAGUUCACCAGCACAAACCACAGUUCAGUAUAAUCCACAUCCAACUGAAACAAAUUCACUAGUUCACAUCCAAUCUUUAUACAGCACAAUCUAUUAAUAUCAUCAUGUACACAGAAGCAUAAUUUCAGUCAUUCACAUGUAUACUUUCGGCAAUCCACAUCAAUUCACACAUCAAUGUAUAUAUAUAUGUUUCCAGUCAAAUACAACAUACACUAAACAUUUAGUCUGCAAUCAAACAUGUACAUCUUAAUCAUCAUCCAUACAGUCCAACACAACUCAAAAACUUUAGGUAAGUCCAGUAGAAAAUCCCUUACCUCACUUUUAUGCAAGUUCUUCAAUCUACUAAAUCCAAUGAAUCAAAUCCUAAACAUAAUCAAUCAUAAAAUCAACAUCUUUCUAAAUAGUUUCAACCAUUCAAAUUACCCCAUAUGUAAAUUCCACAACUUACCCAAGAAGUGGAAAAUCAAGUCCACUUCAACCUUUUGGAAAAUCAAGGAUUCGCUCACUGAAUCAAGAUGUACCUUCAAGAAUUAAGCAUUUCGCCAACAAUUAAAUCCAAUGGCAGCAUCCAACAAAAACCAAGAAACCAACAAAAACCAUAACUUGUUCUUACCCAAAUAUGAGCCCAAUGGUUCACGGCGAGGCAGAUCUGGACGACGAUUUGCUUUGCGAGGGAGGCACGACGGUUGUGAGCGAGAGGCACGACGGUUACAGGCGGAUGGGCGCGACGGUUUAGAUCUGAAGAAGAAAAGAGAGGGUGGCGGUUGGGUUCGGCGAGCGGCGGCGGUUUUGCUUCGCGAACGGAGAUGGAGACGGCAAUUCGGCGCGCGGGACGACUGCAACGCAAAUCUGGACUGGCAGCGGCACGGUCUUGCUUCGCGGCUGGGUAUGGUGAAAAAGAAAGAGAAACGGAAGAAGAGAAGUCUCGGGUGGCGGUUGCUGGGCUACGGCGGUUGCUGGGCUGCGGCGGAAGGAGAAAAUGGAAGGAAGAGAUCGGCGGAAAGAAGGAGAAGAUGGAUGGGAGUCACGAUCGCACGGGAAGAAGAAGGGAGAAAAGAAAAGAAAAGAAAAGAAGAAAAGAAAAAUAAUAAAGAAAUUUUUAAUAUAAAGUAAAAUAAAAAUAUAUAUAUAUAUAUAUAUAUAUAUAUUACCUUUUUGGGCAUUACAUUCUUCCCUCCUUAAGAAACUUUCGUCCUCGAAAGUUCUAAUCCUGAAAUAACUCUGGAUAACGAGUCCUCAUUUCUUCCUCUCGCUCCCAUGUCGCCUCUUCAAUUCGAUGAUUCCGCCACAAAACCUUUACUAAUGGAAUGCUUCUAUUACGAAGCAUCUUUACCUCUCUAGCCAAAAUCUCCACAGGUUGUUCAACAUAGCUCAAAUGCUCGUCAAUCUCCAAGGUUCAUAGUCCACUACAUGAGAUGUAUCGGCCACAUACUUCCUCAACAUCGAAACAUGGAAAACAUUAUGAACUGCAGAGAGAGAUGGUGGUAAUGCCAAGCGAUACGCCACAACACCAACCCUCUCUAAGAUCUCAAAUGGUCCAACAAAACGAGGACUUAACUUUCCCUUCUCAAAACGCAUAACACCCUUCAUAGGUGCUACCUUCAAGAAUACCUUUUCUCCCACAUCGAACUUAAGGUCUUUUCGCCGUACAUCUGCAUAACUCUUCUGUCUACUCUGCGCUGUUUGCAUACGCGUCCUAAUCGUUUGAAUAGCCUCAUUAGUAGACCGAACUAAUUCAGGUCCCAUCAAUCUAUGUUCACCAACCUCACUCCAACAAACAGGGGUUCUACAACAUUUGCCAUACAAAGCCUCAAAUGGUGCCAUACCGAUGGUAGCCUGGAAACUGUUGUUAUAAGCAAACUCCAUCAAAUGUAGAUGAGAGUCCCAACUACCUGGAAACUCUAUAACACAAGCUCGUAGCAUAUCCUCUAAAACUUGGUUCAAACGUUCAGUUUGACCAUCAGUCUGUGGAUGAAAGGCUGUACUGAAAUCCAAUCUCGUACCCAUAGCAGUCUGAAGUCCCUUCCAAAACUUGGAAGUAAACCGUGCAUCCCUAUCAGAAACAAUCGAUACAGGCACUCCAUGCAGUCUCACAAUCUCAGUUAAAUACAACUCUGCCCACUUACUAGCAGUAUAAGUGGAUUUUCCUGGUACAAAAUGUGCCGAUUUCGUAAGCCUGUCUAUGACAACCAGAAUCACUGUGAAACCCUUCAGGGUCUUAGGCAGCCCUGAAAUAAAAUCCAUCGACACAUUCUCCCACUUCCACUCUGGCACACUUAAGGUUGUAAUAAACCUGCUGGUUUCUGUCUAGGUGCCUUAACUUGCUGACAUACUAGACACUUACUAACAAAUUCCGCCACUUCCCUUUUCAUAUUCCGCCACCAAUAAAAUCGUUUUAGAUCCUGAUACAUUUUCGUGCUACCAGGAUGCAUGGAAAAUGGGGAAUUAUGGGCUUCAUCUAGUAAGUCAAUCUUAACUGUACUGUUCGCUGGCACACAUAAACGUCUCUCAAACAUCAACCCACCAUCAGAGGAUAUGGAGAACUCAUCAGUCUGCCCUGUUUCAACAAGGCGACGUCUCUCCAUCAAAUAAGGAUCAUUACUCUGAGCAUCAACAAUCUUGUGCCUCAGAGUCGGUUGCACCGUUAAUUGAGCUAGCUGUGAGGUGACUCUCCCCACAGACACUGCAAUCUCAGCUCUCUCCAAGUCUCGAUGCAAUGGUACCUGUCUAGUAAUGAGUGCUGCCGAAUGUGAUACUUUUCUACUAAGAGCAUCAGCCACCACAUUCGCCUUACCAGGAUGGUAUAAUAUCUCACAGUCAUAAUCUUUUACCAACUCGAGCCACCUUCGCUGUCUCAUAUUCAACUCCUUCUGAGUGAAGAAGUACUUUAGGCUCUUAUGGUCAGUAAAGAUUUGUAUCUUUUCACCGUACAAGUAAUGUCUCCAUAUCUUCAAUGCAAAAACCACUGCUGCCAACUCCAAAUCAUGUGUGGGGUAGUUCUGCUCGUGACUCUUCAACUGACGAGAGGCAUAAGCAACCACCUUACCUUUCUGCAUCAAAACACAACCCAGUCCUUUCUUGGAAGCAUCACUGUAAAUCACAAAACUUCCAGAUCCAUCUGGUACAGUAAGGACCGGUGCAGUAACUAACCUUUGCUUUAAGUUCUGAAAACUAUCCUCACAAGCUGGACUCCAAACAAACGGAGUUCCCUUCCUUGUCAACUGAGUCAAAGGAGUAGCCAAACGUGAAAAAUCCUCCACAAACCUCCGGUAAUACCCUGCUAAACCCAGAAAACUACGAACCUCACUAACUGUGAGGGUCGAGACCAACUGGUAACCGCUUCUAUCUUUGCAGGGUCUACUGAAACUCCCUCACUGGAAACCACAUGACCAAGAAAAGCCACCUGCUUCAACCAAAAUUCGCACUUAGAACUUAGCAUACAGUUUAUUGACUCGAAGAGUCUCUAACACCUUAUGUAAGUGUUCCUCAUGUUCGGCUUCAGUCUUGGAAUAAACCAAAAUAUCAUCAAUGAAGACUAUCACAAAAGUGUCCAAGAAAUCCUUAAACACCCUGUUCAUCAAAUCCAUAAAUACAGCAGGUGCAUUAGUCAAACCAAAAGACAUUACUAUGAAUUCAUAAUGUCCAUACCUCGAACGAAAAGCAGUCUUAGGAAUAUCACGGUCUCUAAUCCUCAACUGGUGAUAACCUGACCGUAAGUCAAUCUUAGAGAACACCGUGGCUCCCUGUAACUGAUCGAACAAAUCAUCGAUUCUGGGUAAAGGAUACCUGUUCUUGACUGUUACUUUAUUCAACUCUCUAUAGUCAAUGCAAAGACGCAUCGACCCAUCCUUCUUCUUCACAAACAAUACUGGUGCACCCCAAGGUGACACACUAGGUCGAAUAAAGCCUUUGUCAAGCAAUUCCUGUAACUGUACCUUCAGUUCUUUCAACUCAGCAGGAGCCAUCCUAUAAGGGGCUCUAGAAAUAGGAGUAGUGUUUGGCUCCAACUCAAUGGCAAAAUCAAUCUCUAUGUGGCGCAGUCCUGGAAGAUCUUUUGGAAAUACAUCUGGGUAUUCUCUUACCACAGGUUCUGAAGUUAAAGAAGUCUCACCUUCCCUAGUAUCCACCACACUUGCCAAAAUACUCCAAGUACCCUGGCUGAGUAGUUUACUAGCUUUCAUAGCUGAGAUUACUUUAGGCAGUACUACUGUUCCUACUCCCUUGAAUUUAAAGCUAGAUGCAGUAGGGGGACUAAACACAACUUCCUUACGAGAACAAUCAAUACUAGCAUGAUUAGUAGCUAGCCAAUCCAUACCUAAAAUUACAUCAAAGUCACGCAUAUCUAAUACCAACAAGGUUACGUCCAGCACACGACCAGCUAUCUCAAUUUCACAUGCUUUAAUCUUUUCCUUAGACAACAUAAUUUCUCCAGACGGUGUAGACACUGACAAAACAUAGUCUAAGGGUUCCACCUCUAAGCAUGCAUGCGUCACAAAAAGCGAUGAAAUAAAUGAAUGAGAAGAUCCCGAGUCAAACAAGGUCAAGGCAAAAUGCCCUAAUACUGGUAAUGUACCUGUCACUACUGUGCCGGCCUUCUCUGCCUCUGAUCUAUUAGUGGCAAAGAUUGUACCCCGCUGUGGAGGUCUCUCUCCCUGACUGCUCGAUCCAGCCCCAGUAGAUCUCAAGGGACACCUAUCAGCCAUGUGUCCCUCUUGCUUGCACUUAUAACAGACUCUCGUUCCCAUCAAACAACGACCCAGGUGGCGUUUCCCACACGUAUUACAUACUGGCCUCUCUUGAGUAGUGUCUCCUGCACCGCCAGAACUCUGCUGGAAACUGCGAAAAGAAUCACCUGGUCUCAUGUUCCUCUGAGGAACUCCUACAGUUCUCUGCUCUACUUUUCUCUUUUGACCGACGACGAUCCCUUAUUAAAGCUCCUUGGCUGUCUUUCAUCCUUCCCAAUACUCAUAUCCACUGCCAGACGCAGUGCUUCAGCUUGGGUAGUGGGCUUUAGUGCUCGCACAAAACCCCUAAUUUCAUCUCUCAAUCCCUUGACGAACCUAUCAGCUCUAGCCUGCUCAUUACUAACAAGCUCAGGGGCAAAACGUGACAGCAUAUCAAACUCCUGGUCGUACUCCUCGACUGUCAUAUAUCCUUGCUUCAACUCCAAGAAUUCCUGGCUUUUGGCGUCUCUAAGGUUAGCCGAGAAAAACUUGGUAUAGAAGCAGUUCUUAAACUGAUCCCAGGUAAUUUGCCUCACAUCUCCACCUAGCAUGCGCAUUGUAGUCCUCCACCAGAUAAUGCCUCUGUCCCUCAGUAGAAAAGCAGCACACUGAACUCUGUGCUCCUCGGACAUCUCAUGUAAUUAAAUAUGGUUUCCACAGAGGACAACCACAUUUCAGCUUUAGUAGGAUCCUCCAGUGACCCAUCAAACGUCUGAGGGUCAUACUUCCGAAAGUCCCUCAAAUGUUUCGCCUCAGCAGAAAGUUGGUUAGGUAAUUCUUGUGCAGGAGGGGCUGCUGGUGCAGGGGAACUACAGGUGCAGGUGGAACCAGGUGCCUGCUGGUUUUGAGCUAUAGCUGUCAUAAGUUCUGUAAACCUCUGCUCCAUGUGAGCAGACAGUGCAUCAAACUCAACGUGAGUCACGGGUGCAGCAGGAAUUCGCUGUUCAGCUUGACCCUCAGUAGGCUGAUUACGACCUGCUCCUCUACCUCGGCCUCCUGCUCUCUACGACCUCCUCUACGUACUUCUUCCCUUGGCGGCAUAAUUCCUAUUACCACCAACAACACUCUUUAACAAAAUCUUAAUCAUAAACAUAAGCAAGUCUUUAUCGUCAUGCAAUCUAGUUUAAUUUAGGCAAGGUCAUGCAAAUAAACCAUACAUAUAAGCAUCAAGCAUACCUGACGAGAGACGAAGGGUCGCGUUAGCCAUAGGAACACAAAAACAUAGACUUACAUCGUAAGUCAGUCUACAGAACCUAAAACUUAGGCUCUGAUACCAACUGUAACGACCCAACUUUUCUAGGUAAGUCGAGGUCAUUAAUUUUUAAUAAAAGACUUUAUUGAUACAAAAUGAAACGUAAGUCAAUUUAAAACAAUCUAUGUCAGGCCUGAUUUUCAAAUAUUCAAGAAAACUUAAAAAUAACACUAUUUACAAAUAAAAGUUUGUAAACUAAGUUUUAGUACAUCUUAAACCUUAAAAGAAACCAUAAGCGGAAGCAAAAUGACACAGUUCCUAUGGAAUCACGCUUCCUUCCUCCCCCUCGCCGGUUUGCCACCUUUAUUUCCUUUGCCUGAAAAUUAAACAUAAGAAGGGUGAGUAUAACAAUACUCAGUAAGAGACCCUUACUGUCUCCGUCAGGGAAAAAUAAUUGUUAAAGUUCUAUUGGGACACCCUGUACAGUCGCAGUCUUGUGAUCGCGUAGGAUACACAUUUCAGUCUAACGCCCCGAAGGACGUACAUAUCAGUCUAACGCCCCGAGGGACGUACAUAUCAGUCUAACGCCCCGAGGACGUACAUAUCAGUCUAACGCCCGAGGGACGUUCAUAUCAGUCUAGUGUUCUGCAGAAACACAUAUCAGUCAAAUGCUCCCGAAGGUGCAAAAUAAAUUGGUGAUCCUGGGACACCUACAAGGUAAACAUCCCAAUACACAACCUAACAAUUUAUCCCUCAUUCCAUUCAACCCAUCUUUCAGUUACUUCAAAUCACAAAGUCCUUUCUUCAACAUCCUAACAGUCAACUUAUUUUACUACAAUCAUAUGUCUGUCAAUAAUAUGCUAAUACAUCAGUCAAUUCACUAUACAGUCAAGUCAAUACACCCCUCAGUUCACCAGCACAAACCACAGUUCAGUAUAAUCCACAUCCACACCGAACAAAUUCACUAGUUCACAUCCAAUCUUUAUACAGCACAAUCUAUUAAUAUCAUCAUGUACACUAAGCAUAAUUUCAGUCAUUCACAUGUAUACUUUCGCAAUCCACAUCAAUUCACACAUCAAUGUAUAUAUAUAUGUUUCCAGUCAAAUACAACAUACACUAAACAUUUAGUCUGCAAUCAAACAUGUACAUCUUAAUCAUCAUCCAUACAGUCCAACACAACUCAAAAACUUUAGGUGAGUCCAGUAGAAAAUCCCUUACCUCACUUUUAUGCAGUUCUUCAAUCUACUAAAUCCAAUGAAUCAAAUCCUAACAUAAUCAAUCAUAAAAUCAACAUCUUCUAAAUAGUUUCAACCAUUCAAAUUACCCCAUAUGUAAAUUCACAACUUACCCAAGAAGUGAGAGAAUCAAGUCCACUUCAACCUUUUGGAAAAUCAAGGAUUCGCUCACUGAAUCAAGAUGUACCUUCAAGAAUUAAGCAUUUCGCCAACAAUUAAAUCCAAUGGCAGCAUCCAACAAAAACCAAGAAACCAACAAAAACCAUAACUUGUUCUUACCCAAAUAUGAGCCCAAUGGUUCACGACGAGGCAGAUCUGGACGACGAUUUGCUUUCCGAGGAGGCACGACGGUUGUGAGCGAAGAGGCACGGCAGUUACAGGCAGAUGGCGCGCGACGGUUUAGAUCUGAAGAAGAAAGAGAGGGUGGCAGUUGGGUUCGGCGAGCGGCGGCGGUUUUGCUUCGCGAACGGAGAUGGAGACGGCAGUUCGGCGCGCGGGACGAUGCAACGCAAAUCUGGACUGGCAGCGGCACGGUCUUGCUUCGCGGCUGGGUAUGGUGAAAAAGAAAGAGAAACGGAAGAAGAGAAGUCUCGGUGCGGUUGCUGGGCUACGGGCGGUUGCUGGGCUGCGGCGGAAGGAGAAAAUGGAAGGAAGAGAUCGGCGGAAAGAAGGAGAAGAUGGAUGGAGUCAGAUCGCACGGGGAAGAAGAAGGGAGAAAGAAAAGAAAAAGAAAAAGAAGAAAAAAAAAUAAUAAAGAAAUUUUAAUACUAAAGUAAAAUAAAAAUAUAUAUAUAUAAUAUAUAAUAUAUAUAUAUAUAUUUACCUUUCUUUGGGCAUUACAUUUUUUUUUUAAUUUUAGCAAAUAACAUUUUUUGCACGUGCAUAAUAUUUAUAAAAUACCAAAAUAUCCACAUUCUCCAACUAAAAUUAUUUUGUUUCUAUGUUGUAAUUAAUUUAUAUUAUGCAUUUAUCAACUUUUAAUUAUUUUUUACCUGAAAAAAGAUACAUAAACUCAUAUAUAUACUUUUUUCUUAAUAUCUCGGGACUCAACUAAUGGAUUCAAGACUUUAACUUUAUUUAAUCUUACUAAUUUCAAAAUAACCUAAUUGAAUUUGAAUUUCAAAAUAACCAAAUUGAAUUUCAACAUAACAAAAUUAUUAUUUUUCAAAUUUGAUAAUCUCAGAAAUAGAUUUUGUAUCAAAAUAACUUUAAUUGAAUUUCAAAAUUAAAAAAUAUCAACUUAUUCACUCUUUAUCUCACAAUAAUAUUAAUGGCUUGAAUAUCAAGAUAAUUAAAUUAUUGUUUUUAAAAUUGGGAGAAACUCAACAUUAAAAAAUAUCAACUUAUUCACACACAAUCACACGCGCACACACAUACAUACACUUGCACGCACGUGCACCCAUACACGCACACACACACGCGUGCACACACACACACACACACAAACGCACACAUGCACACGCACACCAAACCGCACGCACACAAAUACACACACACACGCACACUAAUGGUUCAAUUUCAUCGAUUGUUCCUAUUUUUCUGACAGUUUAUUUUUGCCAUCGAUAGAGGAUCUUCCGACAGACCUGCGUGACGGUGUGUGUUGACAGCUUAAUUUCGUUGGCAAAAGAAAAGUCGAUUAGUUUUUGAAGAUUUACUGACGAUAUUUGUCAUCGACAAAGGGUAAAUUUCUUGUAGUGCAUGUACAUCAAACAUAUCAAAUUUGUUAAGUGUACCAAUGAAGUAUAAGAAGUUUAUUAGUGGUGUAUCAAGCGUAUCAAACUUAUAAGUGAAGUCUUUAAGUGUAUCAAACUAAUCAAGUGUAUCAAGGUCUCAGGGUAUCAAGUGUAUCAAGAAGAAUCAAGUGUAACGAGAAGUAUUAUGUGGAACGAGAAGUAUUAUGUGUAUGAAGAUGUUUCAGGUGUGUAUCAAAAAGUAUCGAGUGUAUCAAUGAGUACCGAGUGCAUGAAUUGUAUCUAUCAAAUGUAUCAAGUGUAUCAGUAAGAAAUAUCAAGUGUAUCAAGCGGUAUUAGGUGUAUCAGACGUGUAUAAGGUGUAUCAAAUGUACAUCAAUAACGAGGGCAUUUGUGACAUUUUACCUCUUGAUGUGUGAGUUGGUCUUUGUUUUUGUCAUUUUCUCAAAUAAUAAAGUAUGUGUUCUAUGAACUUAAUUAUUAUAACUUACACUACUACAAAAACAGGCUCUCUUGACGUUUGCAGUUUUCCUUUCUUGACGUUUUUUUCAAAAAACGUCAAGAAAGAUUUCAUUUUUAAUAAAAAACGUCAAGAAAUUUUUUGAAACAUCAUUCUUGACGUUUAUUAAAUGUCAAGUAAAAUAAAUUUUUCUUUGACGUUUUUAAAACAUCAAGAAAUAUCUAUUAAUUUUUUGACGUUUUAAAACGUCAAGAAGCGUAUGAAUUCGACAUGCUUGACGUUUCUUAAACGUCAAGAAUUUAAAAUUUUACUCGACGUUUUAAAAACGUCAAGAAAUUCAUAAAAUAUUCAAGAAUAUUUUUUAAAUUACACUGAGAAGGUAUCGAAUUUUAAUUUUCAGCUCUAACAUUUUUCCUAAUCUACUUUUUUCUUCUUCACGACUGAGUAUUCGAGGGAGUCAUUUUUUGAAUUUGUUGACAUUUUUUAAACGUUAAGUAAGAUCAUUUUUUUUUUUACAUUUUAAAAAUGUCAAGUGUUAUUAAAUAAAUAUAAAAAAUAUAUUGGGCUAAUUUUAUUUCUUUAAAAUCUCUUUAAAUAUAUAGAUACAAUAAUAAAAAUCUCUUUAAAUAUAUAGAUACAACAAUAAAAAUUUCUUUAAAUAUAUAUAGAAAAAAAAUAUUGUACUAAUAUUAUUCAGAAUCACUUUAAAUAUAUAUAGAAAAAAUUAUUGUGCAAAUAUUAUUUUUUAAAAAGCCCUAGCCCCUUUCUACUCAAAACACGCGUGUUCCCCUUUCCCUCUCCAGCCGAAAUCCUUCCCAUUCGAAAAAAGUGUGUUCAGCAGUCGUCGUUCGCUUUCAACGCCUAUCCGUUCGCCUUCAACGUCUGUCCGUUCGAUUUCACCGUCGAGUUCCACCUCUUCGAAUCCCUCACGUCCGUCGUUUCAAAGUCCUUCGUCCGCUGCAUUCCAUCUUUCCAAAAUCCCUCAGUGCCUCACGCUACUGCGUGCCCGUCAUUUCGACUUCACCAACGAGUGCCUCACGUUCGUUGCUUCAAAAUCCAUCAUCCACUAAGUUGAGGUUAGGCUUUUAUUUCCCUAAAACAUAUAACAAUUUCAUUAUUCUUCAUUAUAUAAACUCAGAUGGCAUGAUUGGCAAUAAUAGAUAGGAAGGAUGGAGGUGUAAACUUCGAAUUGAUUGAAAUUCGUAUACUUUUAUUCAAUCUUUAAAGUACUGUAGUUUUUCUUCACCAUCAAAUUUUAUUAGGAUUUAAAGAAAACAAAUGAAUGUAUGAACAAAUUUUUGGGAGUGCAUGUCAUAUAAUCAACUUCCCUCUUUCAGUAAUUUUGAAGAUCUCAUAUAACAAUACUACUAAUUGAGAGCUUUGGAGGAUGAGUCAAUUCUUCUCCCUUCGUGAAAAGAAAAAGAAAAAAAGAUCAUGUAUUCUCUUUGUUUGUUACCUUAUGUUGUCCAAGGUUUUGCCUUCUUCCUUAAUAAUUUGGAGGUGUUUUAACUAAUUUUUUCAUUCACCCUCUUUUUGCCAUAGUUGCUUUUGUGUGCAGCUUGAGAUUUUUAAUUCAAUUGUGUGUUUUUACUUUUUUCUAUUGGGUGAAUUCUGUUUUGACUUUUUUUAAGCUAAAUAUAAUUAAUUGUUUCCUAUGGAACCAUAACCUUGAUCUUGGUUAUAGAUUUCAUUUUAAGGUAAAAGUAAAACACUCUUAUUUGAAUGAUUAUGUUGUAUUAUCCAUUGAAAGACUUGGUGUUGUAAUUGCCUUGUCUUCCUCAGGUAUUCUGUUGUAUGGUUGAUUACGAUCUUCAUGAUUGGAAUCUUUGUUUAGUGAAGCUCAUUUUGUUUGAUUUACUCAGUCGUGCAAUUGCUUUCUUUUUUAUGAUCACUUUAAAAAAGAAAUGAGUUUAGUUAGUUCUUUUAAUUUUCUUAAGUUUCAUUUGUAAUGCAUGAAAAUCUCUUAGCAGUAGAAACUGAAGACCAUAAUUGUAGAAGAUUUGUAUAGAUUGGAUUCACAUUCUCAACAUUGGUUAUACAGGCAUUACUUAUCAUUGUCCUUCCACUUUAAUUAUCAAUAGUGACAAUAACUUUAUUUCUCAUUAGAUUUACAAUGAUGGAUAAAUCUUGGAUGCACAAGAGUAGAUUGUCUAAAGAUUAUGAGUUGGGUGUGGAAAACUUCAUCAAAUUUGGAUUUUCUAAUACAACUAGCUCCUAUAUUCGUUGUCCUUGUUUGAAAUGUGGGAAUUGUGAAAAACAUAGUAGAAAGGGUGUUAGAGAUCACUUGUAUGUUAAUGGUAUUGAUGAAAGUUAUAAAUUUUGGUUUUGGCAUGGGGAAGAACUUCCUAACUCAUCCUUCUAUGAUGAAUCUUCAAAGUUUGACACCCAUACAUGUGAAGAUCAGGAUGUUGGAAGUGUAAAAGAAAUGAUUGAAGUUGCUCAUGAGGAGUAUUCAAAAGACCCAACUGGAUUUGAGAAGUUGCUUAUUGAUGCUGAAAAACCAUUGUACGAAGGAUGCAAAAAGUACACAAAGUUGUCUACUCUAGUCAAAUUGUAUAAUUUAAAAGUUAGGUAUGGAUAGAGUGAUACUAGUUUUUCAGAAUUACUUGAAACUUUGAAGGAAAUUCUGCCUAAUACCAAUGAGCUCCCGAAUUCAUUGUAUGAAGCAAAGAAAACAUUAGGUGCAUUAGGAAUGGAAUAUGAAAAGAUUCAUGCAUGCCCGAAUAAUUUUGUCUCUAUAGAAAAGAAUUUGCUAAUGCAAUUGAAUGUCAUGAAUGUUGUCAAUCAAGGUGGAAAAACGUCAAGGAUACAAAUGAAAGGAGAAAGCAAAUUCCCUCUAAAGUGAUAUGGUACUUUCCAAUCAUUCCACGAUUUAAAAGGCUAUUCAGAAGCAUUGAAUGUGCUGAAAACUUGACUUGGCAUUCUACUGAAAGAAUUAAUGAUGGUAAGUUACGACAUCCAGCCAGACUCUCCAGCAUGGAAGUUAGUAGACAUGAAAUGGCAAGACUUUGGUUCUGAACCCAUAAAUCUUCGUUUAGCAUUGUCAGCCGAUGGAGUAAAUCCUCAUGGUGACAUGAGUUCUAAAUACAGUUGUUGGCCGGUAGUGAUGGUUAUUUACAAUCUUCCACCAUGGUUGUGUAUGAAAAGAAAGUACAUGAUGCUAUCAAUGCUAAUUUCAGGACCAAAACAACCAGGGGAUGACAUAGGCAUAUACUUAGCACCACUAAUUGAAGAUUUAAAACUUUUAUGGGAAAGUGGUGUUGAAUGUUAUGAUGCUUAUCGAGAAGAACCAUUCAACUUAAGGUCAGUUUUGUUGUGGACAAUCAAUGAUUUUCCUGCAUAUGGUAACCUUAGUGGAUGUUGUGUGAAAGGGUAUAAAGCAUGCCCAAUUUGUGGAGAUAAUACAAAUUCUAUAAGGUUAAAGUAUGGGAAGAAAAUGGCAUACCUUGGACAUCGUAGAUUUUUGGCACGAAAUCAUCUGUAUCGACGACAAAAGAAGUCAUUCAAUGGUAAAAAAGAACUUGAUACAAUUCCAGAGCCACUUUAUGGGGAGGAUGUGUAUUUAAAAUUGAAAGAUCUUGAAUUUUCUAGAGGGAAGAAGAACCAUAAGAAACGGUUGAUGAACAGAAGUGACAAAAUUUGUUGGAAUAGAUUAUCUUCUUUUUUUGAGUUGCCAUACUGGAAGGAUCUUCAUGUUAGACAUUGUUUAGAUGUGAUGCACAUUGAAAAAAAUGUUUGCAUGAAUAUCUUAGGUACAUUUCUUGAUAUUCCUGGAAAAAGUAAGGAUGGAUUGAAUGCUAGACGCGAUUUAGUUGAUCUAAAACUUCGACCAGAGCUUGCCCCUAUCAGAAUAUGUUACUCCUACUAAUUACUUUCAUUAUGUAAAAAAGACAUCUAAACGUGAGGAUGAGAUUAUACUUGAGAAUAAAGAACUUCGAAGGCGUGUAAGCGAAUUAGAAGCACAUAACCACUCAAACUUGUCUAGACCAUUAUCUGGACAUGGUAGCUGUUCGAAGCCAAAUAUCUUAGAAGAGAGUGACUCGAUGAAAAUAAUCAAAGGGAAGAGUAAGUUGAUGGAUAAAAUCGAAGGGAAAGAGGUGGAGGAGAUCAAUGUAAAUGACGACAAAGUAGAGUUGGACAUCUUUAAGGUAUGUGAUCGAUCCUCUAAUAAACUCAAAUUCUUAAUAUUCAUAUCAUAUUGAAAGUGAAUGUUUUUCUUGAAUUAGGAGAGAGCCUUAAUAAAAAUGACUAAGGAAAAAGAGGUUGUCUGUGAAUCGACGUCAGUUUUGCCAAUGGGAAUGAAGUUGAUUCUCAUAUACGUUGAGAAGAUAAUGGAGAAAGAUUCUAGUAUCACUAUUCCACUACUGUUGGCAUUUUUGGUAUUAGUCGAAAGACUUCUGUUCUCCGAGAGGACAUCAUUGAUCUUUGUAACAUGAAUGAGGUCAAAACAUUUACAUUGGUGGCCUAUAUGACGUAAGUAUCAAUUUCAUUUCUUUAGAUCUAAAUUUAUGUAUCUCGUUUACAAGUUUAUAAUAUUUUGUAGGUACUUGUAUUCAUCUGUUCUUGGUUCGAAGGAAACUAUACAGUAUGUCUUUGUAGAUCCAUCCCUCACCUCUGUCGGACACUCGCAAGAAUCUCGAGUUCGACACUUAUGCAGUAGAUUGAUGGUCUCAAAGAUUAACGAAAUAGUUCUUGCUCCUUUUAAUCCUGGGUAAGUCAAGUUAUUUUAUUACUUGCAUUGCAAAAAACUAGUACUAAUAUUUUGUAUAAUUAGGGGUCAUUGGGCACUGCUGGCCAUAAAUGCAUAUGAUGAUAUAGUAUUUUACCUCGACUCACUAAGGACAACAUCGAAGUCAACUAUAAGAUACGUCACCGACACGUAAGUUAAUCUAGUAUUUCAUUUAGUGUUGAUUCUUAUAUGCAUGUACACAAUAUUUAAACUAUUUGUUCAAUCUUAUCUUGUCAAAACAGAGCAAUAGCGAUGUUUCAGUCACAAAAGAACAUUAAAAAAAGUAGAAAACAAACUUUAUGGCUAACAGUAAAGGUAAGUAUCAACUUUUAAAGUCAUUAAAUUUUUGUAGACUACUAGCAAUUAGGAUUACUUUGUUAUUCAAAUUUGUUGCUUUUAUAUAGUGUCCACUGCAAGGAAGUAUUGAGUGUGGAUACUAUGUGAUGAGGUAUAUGAGAGAAAUUGUGACUAGGGGAAGCAUUGUCAUAUCCGAUGCGGUAUGUUAUAUAUCAAACUAUUGGUUUUGUGAGUUAAUUGGUUUAUUUGUAUAGUCAGUUAAUUCAUUUAAUUUAUUUUGUAUGUUUAUUGAUUGAUACACGAAGAUCAUACUCACAGGCAGAACUACACGAGGUGCGAGUUGAGUUAGCUGACUUUUUGGGUUCUUACAUAUGAUUAUGACCAAUAUUUUGUGAUUCUGAAGUAGGAAAUUUUUUGUUGUGUCGCUUCUUUAUGACCCUAAACUUUAUGUAUAGAAACUUUAGCCGAUAAUUCUUUUGAAUUGUUCAUAUGGAGGAAGGGGGGAGGGGGGUUCAUUCGUAUAUAUUUUUAUUAUUGUUAUAGCUAGCAUGUUUUGUGACUUUUUAAGUUGAUUUGGAUUCAUGGCAAUGUAAUGCCAUAUGAAAUCUAAUGUAAAGCCUAUUUCAUUAUGUAUAUGUAAAGUCUUGGAAUUGAAUAUAUAUGGUGAAUGGUUUUAUUUAUAUAUGUUUGAGAUUUGAAACUAUAUUUGAUGAAUAUCAAAUAUCUAUGAAACUGUUGUGGACAAUUACAGGAUAAUUACAGGACAAUCAGAAUAUAUUUCUUUCCAUUACAGCAUAAUUCAAUUACAAUUUCUUUUUUUAAAAAAAAUUAAAAAAUGCUUGACGGUUUUAAAAUGUCACGAACAAUUGCAAGCUUGACGGUUUUAAACUGUCAUGAACAAUUGCAUUUUUACGGUUGACAAAUGUCAAAACAAUUACAUUCUUGACAGUUUUAAAAUGUCAUGAAUAGUAAAAUUCUUGACGGGUUUAAAAUGUCAUAAACCAGUUCAUCCUUGACGGCUUUAAAAUGUCAUAAACAAUACCAGUCCUGACGGUUCUAAAACGUCAUGAACAUAAGUAUAUUUGACGUUUAUAAAACGUCAACGUUCACUAUUCUUGACGUUUAAUCAACCGUCAAGAACUUUGCCUUUCUUGACGCUGGCUUCAACGACGUUUUUAAAACCGUCAAGAGAGCCGUCUCUUGAAGUUUAAAAACGUCAAGAGAGCCUGUUUUUGUAGUAGUGUUAUUUUGCCAUUUUCGCAAGUGUCCCUUAAUUGUAAUACAUGUAUAUGUGACAUAAUCUAAUCAAACUAACCAUAAAUGGACUUAAUGUAUCAGGUAUUAGGUGUAUCAGACGUGUAUAAGGUGUAUCAAAUGUACAUCAAUAACGAGGGCAUUUGUGACAUUUUACCUCUUGAUGUGUGAGCUGGUCUUUGUUUUUGUCACUUUCUCAAAUAAUAAAGUAUGUGUUCUAUGGACUUAAUUAUUAUAACUUAUUUUGCCAUUUUCGCAAGUGUCCCUUAAUUGUAAUACAUGUAUAUGUGACAUAAUCUAAUCAAACUAACUCAUAAAUGGACUUAAUCGAUCUCAUGGACCACGAAUUCUUCAAUUACUUGCAAAUUUGGUGAGUUCCUUCAAACAGUGGGCGAAGAGCUUAAUUUUGAGAGAGAGGAAAAGUCGUGAAGAGUAUAUGCGAGAGAGGGGGAACGUGCCAGAGAGCAUUUGCGAGAGAGCUAAAGACAGCGACGAUGUGGGAUGAAGUAAGGUUUUUUUCGGUCGUUGUUCACAGUGGGAUGAAAGCUUCGAAUUAUUUGUUUUAAAUCAAAAGGCGUAAUGAUUGAAGGAAAACAUUUAUUUUUUAUUAGGGUAAUUUUUAAUGACACAUAAUUUAUGUCAUUAAUUAACAAUGCGAAAAUUUUGUCAAGAAAACUCAAUUUGUGUCACGAAAAAUUUUGUAUUUUUAUUUUUAACGACACAUUUUAUUCCCUCAUGUCCCUUUUUCUUGAUUUCAAGUGUCAUUAAAACUUAUUGUUGAAUAAGAAAUUUUGAGACCAAUCACAAGUUGCCACAUCAUUUAUUAAGUUAAUGAUGAAAAGUACAAAUAAUUAAAUUUGGGACUAAUUAAAAUUGACAUAUGCUCCAAAUUAAAGAGUUGAAAAUAAAUAAAAUGGUCAUUCUAAUAAUGCCACAUGUUUUCAUAUUAAUAGUUGGAUUAAGUUAAUCAUUUUAGUUCAAUUAAAUAUUAUUUACUUGGACUAAGUUCAAUUAAGCCCAAAAAAUAAGCUUAAUUGAGCCCAAAGACUAAAUAUAACCUAAGUCCAUAUGGUUGAGCCCAUGCGUCUGGUCCAUGGACCAACUAGGUUCAAACCCAUAAAGCCCACCAGUGAACUCUAUAAAUAGAGGAAUUCUCCUCAUUUGUAGGGGUUGGAAAAUAUUGACUCUAGAAGAUCCAGAGAGAAUUCUUCAAAGAGCUAGAAGACUCCCUAACUCCUGAAGUUGACCAUCCUCGAAGAUUGAAGCUUCUUUAAAGAUACAAGCUUUCUUCCAAGGCUUCAACUUCAAGAACAUCACGUGCUUCGCUUCCUCCAAAUCAAGCUGAAGCAUCCAGUUGAGAGAGAAUCAGAGGAUCAAAUUCUAGAGAUUGAACCGCAUCGCAUCAAAUCAACAAAAAUACAACAUCAACUCAAGUUCAAGUCCACGAAUUAAAUUUCUCCAGAAAUCUCGUGCGAACAAAUUGGCACGCCCAGUGGGACCAUCUCUACCUCUCAUCUCUCUCUCAUCAUCUAGAUCUACAAGCAAAUCAAUGGCAUCAAAGAAAGUUGCAUCCAAAUCUUCAGCUGCAAGCGACACCUACACGGGACCUAUCACCUGUAGUCGUUCCAAGGGGAUCAUCCAAGGGCAAGACCAAGGUUCCGCCAUCGCGCAGAGCAUCCUGAAGCAAUUAAUGGAAUCUCCUAAAGCUGGAAUUGUCAUCAAGGAAAAUCCUCUAUAUAAUGAUUAUGAUUCUGCCUCUAGCAGGUCACUGAAAGAAGCACACCCAGAUGUGAUGUCCGUCAUGAUGGCUGAUGUAGCAGUCGAGACUGCCAUGGCGGAGAUGGAGAGAAAAUUAAUCUCCUGAUGAAGGUUGUUGAUGAACGAGACCACGAAAUUACAGCUUUAAAGGAGCAGAUGCAGACUCGUGAAACUCUGAAUCGAGUCAAACUUGUCGUUAAAGUUGAUGACAAAGGGAAGAACGUGGUACAAGAAAAUCAGCCACAACAACAAUCAACUUCUGUGGCUUCUCUCUCGGUUCAACAAUACAAGAUAUGAUCACAAACUCCAUCAGAGCACAAUAUGGAGGCCCAUCUCAGACUUCUUUCAUGUACUCUAAACCAUACACCAAAAGAAUCGACAACUUGAGAAUGCCGCUUGGAUAUCAGCCUCCAAAAUUCCAGCAGUUUGACGGAAAGGCAAUCCAAAACAGCACGUUGCUCACUUCGUCGAAACAUGUGAGAAUGCAGGAUCAAGAGGAGAUCAACUAGUCAGACAAUUUGUUCGAAGCUUGAAAGGAAAUGCUUUUGAAUGGUAUACUGAUCUGGAGCCAGAAAGCAUUGAGAGUUGGGAACAACUAGAAAAGGAGUUUCUCAAUCGCUUCUACAGCACCAGGCGUACUGUAAGCAUGAUGGAGCUUACAAAUACGAAACAAAGAAAGGGAGAACCAGUCAUCGACUACAUCAAUAGAUGGAGAGCUCUAAGUCUUGACUGUAAAGAUCGGCUCACCGAACUGUCGGCUGUAGAAAUGUGCACCCAAGGCAUGCACUGGGGACUCCUCUACAUUUUGCAGGGAAUAAAGCCCCGCACAUUUGAAGAACUGGCAACUCGAGCUCAUGAUAUGGAGUUGAGCAUCGCCAGUAGAGGAACUAAAGAUUUUCUUGUUCCUGAAGUAAAGAAAGAUAAGAAAGAGAUGAAAGGUGCUGAAAAGAUAGUGAAAAGCACCGCGAAAGAAUCUAUGGUCGUAAACACAACCCCGCUGAAAUUCUCCAAAGGAAAGGAAGCGAGGGUUGAAAAGAAGGAUGAUGGAAGCGAAAGGCGACGUCUGACUUUAAAAGAAAGGCAGGAAAAAGUUUACCCAUUUCCUGAUUCAGAUAUCGCUGACAUGCUAGAGCAACUACUAGAGAAGCAGCUGAUCCAGCUGCCAGAAUGUAAACGACCUGAGCAAGCAGGAAAGGUAGAUGAUCCCAAUUACUGCAAGUAUCAUCGGGUCAUCAGUCAUCCAGUAGAGAAAUGCUUCGUGCUGAAGGAGCUAAUUCUAAGGUUGGCUCGUGAGAAAAGGAUUGAGCUAGAUUUGGAGGAAGUAGCUCAAACAAACCACGCUGAAGUGACGAUAAUGUCUGAGGCUUCUUCGUCGAGAUUGAUUUUUGAGCAAAGGAAAAGCUUGGUCCAGUUCGGGACCUUUGAGCCUAUAGUUGUCCAAUUCUUUCAGGAAAUCUCAUACGAGGAUCCUCAAGGAGAGAAAAGACCAAUCGAAGAAGACGAUGAAGGGUGGAUAGUGGUGACCCACCGAAAGAAAAGACAGUCGAUCCCGACCCAAAGAGAGUCUCGCUCUUACCAAAACUAUAGAAGAGGAAAUAAGACUCAAAAGAAUAAGAAAAAGAAGAAGACUCAUAAGCUUAAGCUCGUACAUAAUGAAGACAUGAAUUUCUCUCGACCUCAACGCUUAGUGACCUUGCAGACUUCCUUCCAAAAAGCUUCCUUUGUGAUCAUCAGGAUGAAGACCCAGAAGUCGUUGCGUGUCAUGCUAUCAACACAACGGAGGAAGAAAUAAUCCCUCCAAGAUCACUAGAAGGAGAGGGAGUAUCAAAAGACCUUUCAAGGUUUAAUGUAGAGGAUCUAUUAUCACUUCCUCAAGAGACCAAAACCAUCCUUAUUGAUGCAUUGCUAAAUUCAAGAGCAUCAAGUUCGAGUACUCCGACUAUGACAUAUGAGAGUGGUUCUUAUUGUAUGUCUAUAGACUUCUCAGAUGAGGAUUUGUUGUUGGGAUCUAAACUUCAUAAUAGACCUUUGUAUGUUUCUGGAUACGUUCGAGAACAGAGAGUCGAUCGAAUCCUCAUUGAUAAUGGCUCAGCUGUCAACAUAAUGCCAAAGUCGACUAUGUGGCAAUUAGGCAUCUUGAUGGACGAGCUCUCAAAUAGCAAGCUAGUAAUUCAAGGUUUUAACCAAGGUAGCCAAAGAGCAAUAGGCAUGAUACGGUUAGAACUCAUAAUUGGCGACCUAAAGGCCAGUGCAUUGUUUCAUGUCAUAGACUCAAGGACUACUUACAAGUUGUUACUAGGGCGUCCUUGGAUUCAUGGAAACGGAGUAGUAACUUCAACACUGCAUCAGUGCUUCAAAUUUUAUCAGGACGGUGUAAAGAAGGUUGAAGCCGACUCUAAUCCAUUCUCAGAAGCUGAGUCUCACUUCGCAGAUGCAAAGUUUUAUUCAAAGAAUAAUAAUAUUUUAGAAGUUUUGCCUGCAGAAACCCCUCUUACAAAAGGAGAAGAUAAUUCACAACUGAAAUCACUCGCAACCACAGAACCACAUGAAAGUGCGAGAACCUUUAACUCUGGAAAGGGUGAAGCAUACACUAGCAGCACAAAGGGUAUGAUCUUGAAGGAUGAAAAUGCUGCAAACACACCAGUUUUGCGUUAUGUCCCUCUGUCAAGGCGCAAGAAAGGCGAAUCACCAUUCAUGGAGUCUCCAAAAGGUUUGAAAGUUGGUGACAUCGAAAUCAUAAAAGAAAGCUUCACUACACCACUAACUAAGAUAGCGAAGCAGGAGGUAAAGGUAGAUCUGGUGGAAGCAAACUUGCCCCAAAGGCGAACGAAAGACGGAUUCGACCCCAAGGCUUACAAAUUGAUGGCGAAAGCAGGUUAUGACUUCACAGCUCACACCGAGUUUAAAAGCUUGGAAAUUCAUGACCGACCUGAGCUCUCCUCAACUCAAAAGAAGCUUCUACGGAAGGACAUUCUAUACCCGUGUCGAGAAAAGGACUCGGAUACAAGUCGCCAGAACCGAUCCGUAUAACUAAAAAGGGAAGGAAAAAGUGGUUGACAUCAAUCAUAUAACUAUAGAGGAUGACAAUACUGACGUAAAAGAAGGUGAUAAUCAGAGAAUCUCAGUAUUUGAUCGAAUUAGACCAUCUGUUGCACGUCCCGUAGUAUUUGAAAGGCUAAGCAUGACAGAGGCAGAAAGAGAAAGGCUCCAGUCAGUACCAAACCUUGAGAGACAUUCGGUCUUUCGAAGGCUAACUACGACUCCCAUAAAGGAAGAAAGCACAUGCCAUGCCUUGACAACUACAAGACCAUCAGCCUUUGAAAGGCUAGGUGUGUCUAAAAAAAAAAUGUACAAGCACCCCGUGCUCCGAUUUUUAAUCAUCUCGGGGAUAAAGGAUCACACGACAACAUUGAUUCCAACAUAGCAAAGAAGAAGGAACCAAUGUCUCGUGUGAAAGUUUGGCGUCGAAUUAAGCAUACAGAUGUCGAUAAUUAUCGUAGUAAGAAGUUUCCUUGCGAGACAAAGGAAAAUGGAGAAAUUCAUAGCAACGUUCCUUCUCGCAUGAAAAGAAAAACUUUUGUUACUCUCAAUACAAGUCAAGGUUCGUUAAAGGUAAAAAGACAUGAUGUUAUACUAACGAAUCCUGAAAAAGAAGGGUCGGAACAAGGGGAAGGUGAAACUUCAUGUCAUCACAUCACCAUUAUUGAGGAAUCAGAGACUGGAACUCAUGAAGAAGACGCAGAAAAUGCCCCACAAAGUUUAGAGGAUGGUGGUCAAUCUACUGUAGACGAGCUAAAAGAGGUGAACCUUGGUACAAUAGAGGAACCACGUCCGACUUUCAUUAGUGCGUCCCUCUCUAACGAAGAGGUGGAUAAAUAUAUGAGUUUGCUCACCGAAUACAGGGACAUCUUUGCGUGGUCGUACAAGGAGAUGCCAGGACUUGACCCAAAAGUAGCAGUCCAUCAUCUUGCAAUUAAACCGGAUAUCGACCGAUUAAACAAGCACAACGACGUUUUCGACCGGAGCUUAUCCCUCAAAUCGAGGUGGAAGUCAACAAGUUGAUCGAAGCAGGAUUCAUUCGCGAGGUCAAAUAUCCAACGUGGAUAGCAAACAUUGUCCCUGUUAGAAAAAAAAAUGGACAACUUCGCGUUUGUGUAGACUUUCGCGAUCUGAAUAAUGCAUGCCCUAAAGAUGAUUUUCCCUUGCCCAUCACCGAAAUCAUGGUUGAUGCAACUACUGGACACGAGGCGUUGUCGUUUAUGGAUGGGUCGUCUGGAUAUAAUCAAAUACGGAUGGCCCUCUCAGAUGAAGAAAUGACAGCUUUCAGAACUCCAAAGGGAAUAUACUGUUACAAGGUGAUGCCCUUUGGAUUGAAAAAUGCCGCGCUACUUAUCAACGUGCCAUGCAGAAAGUGUUUGAUGAUAUGUUGCACAGGUAUGUUGAAUGUUAUGUUGAUGAUCUUGUAGUCAAAACAAAGAGACGACAAGACCAUUUGAAGGAUCUAAAAGUCGUGUUUGAUCGCUUGCGAAAAUAUCAGCUAAGGAUGAACCCUCUCAAGUGUGCGUUUGGUGUAACUUCAGGAAAAUUUCUUGGCUUCAUUGUAAGGCAUCGAGGGAUCGAAAAUAGACCAGUCCAAGAUUGAUGCCAUUCAGAAGAUGUCAAGACCUAAAAGUUUGCAUGACCUAAGAAGUCUCCAAGGACGACUGGCUUACAUCCGAAGGUUCAUCUCUAACUUGGCCGGUCGGUGUCAACCUUUUCAAAAGUUGAUGAGAAAAGGAGAAAAUUUUGUGUGGGAUGAAGCUUGUCAGAACGCUUUUGAUAGCAUAAAGAAAUACUUGCUUACUCCCCCAGUGCUGGGAGCUCCAGUACCUGACAAACCACUAAUAUUGUACAUUGCUGCACAAGAAAGGUCCUUAGGAGCAUUACUGGCACAAGAAGAGGUAAAGGGAAAGGAGCGUUCUCUCUACUAUCUAAGCAGAACAUUAAUUGGGGCUGAAGUUAACUAUUCUCCUAUCGAAAAGAUGUGUCUUGCACUUUUCUUUGCCAUUGAUAAGUUGAGGCAUUAUAUGCAGGCCUUCACGGUUCAUCUAGUGGCAAAAGCAGACCCUAUAAAGUAUGUUCUAUCCAGGCCAAUCAUCGCUGGACGCUUAGCCAAAUGGGCGGUUCUACUCCAACAAUAUGACAUUGUCUAUAUUCCCCAAAAGGCGAUAAAAGGACAAGCGCUAGCAGACUUUUUAGCAGACCACCCAAUUCCUUCGGAUUGGAAGUUAUGUGAUGACCUACCAGACGAUGAGGUUUUCUUCACAGAAGUUAUGGAACCUUGGACUAUGUACUUCGAUGGUGCAGCUCGAAGAAGUGGUGCGGGGGCAGGCAUUGUCCUCAUUUCUCCUGAGAAGCAUAUGUUGCCUUAUAGCUUUGCACUUUCCGAAUUGUGUUCAAACAAUGUGGCUGAAUAUCAGGCUUUGAUAAUUGGCCUUCAAAUAGCAUUAGAAAUCGGAGUGUCAUUCAUAGAGGUCUAUGGUGAUUCAAAAUUGAUAAUCAAUCAACUCUCGCUUCAAUAUGACGUGAAACAUGAAGACUUGAAGCCAUAUUUUGCUUAUGCUCGACAAUUGAUGGAAAAGUUUGAUAAUGUGAUGUUAGAACAUGUCCCUAGAGUAGAAAAUAAGAGAGCGGAUGCAUUGGCAAAUUUAGCCACGGCCUUGACCAUGCCAGAUGAUGUAACUCUGAACAUACCACUUUGUCAACGAUGGAUUAUACCCCCAGUUAGGCCUGAAUGUCAGGAAGUGAACAUGGCAACAUCCUAUUUGAUUGAUGAAGAAGAUUGGCGUCAACCCAUCAUAGAGUAUCUUGAACAUGGAAAGCUUCCAAAGGAUUCUCGUCAUAAAAUUGAGAUACGAAGAAGGGCAGCACACUUCAUUUAUUACAAGGGAACUUUAUAUCGCCGUUUUCUUGAAGGGCUCUUCCUUCGAUGUCUCGGAAAGGAAGAUUCGGUAAAAGCUCUAAAGGAAGUACAUGCAGGUGUUUGUGGAGCACAUCAAUCGGGACCAAAGCUUCAAUUCCAGCUAAGAAGAAUGGGCUACUACUGGCCUAAGAUGAUCCAAGAUUCAAUAGACUAUGUGAAGAAGUGUGAGCCUUGUCAAUACCAUGCAAACUUCAUACACCAACCUCCAGAACCUCUUCAUCCAACUGUGGCUUCUUGGCCUUUUGAGGCUUGGGGACUCGAUCUGGUUGGCCCCAUUACACCAAAAUCAUCAGCAGGACAUUCUUAUAUCCUAGCAGCAACAGACUAUUUUUCAAGGUGGGCUGAGGCCAUUUCAUUGAGAGAAGCCAAGAAGGAGAACGUGGCAGACUUUAUUCGAACACACAUCAUCUAUCGAUACGGUAUUCCACAUCGAAUCGUGACGGAUAAUGGAAAGCAAUUCUCCAAUAGUAUGAUGGACAAGUUAUGUGAAAAAUUCAAAUUCAAGCAAUAUAAGUCAUCCAUGUACAACGCAGCUGCGAAUGGACUAGCAGAAGCAUUCAACAAAACAUUGUGUAAUCUUUUAAAGAAAAUUGUCUCCAAGUCAAAGAGGGAUUGGCAAGAAAAGAUCGGCGAGGCAUUAUGGGCUUAUCGGACGACUCAUCGCACCCCUACAGGGGUUACACCAUAUUCGCUUAUUUACGGUGUGGAGGCUGUCCUUCCUCUCGAAAGGGAAAUUCCGUCACUAAGAAUGGCAGUACAAGAGGGAUUGACUACCGAAGAUAAUGUGAAGUUACGUCUUCAAGAAUUAGAAGCACUUGACGAAAAGCGAUUAGAGGCUCAGCAAGCAUUGGAAUGUUAUCAAGCGAGAAUGUCCAAAGCUUUUGAUAAACACGUUAAACCUCGCUCCUUUCAAGUCGGUGAUCUAGUACUUGCCGUAAGGAGACCGAUCAUCACAACAAGGCAUACAGGAAAUAAGUUCACACCUAAAUGGGAUGGACCUUACAUUGUUAAAGAAGUUUAUACAAAUGGCGCAUACAAGAUCGUUGAUCAAGACGGACUACGAAUUGGCCCAAUCAAUGGUAAAUUUCUUAAAAAAUUUAUGCUUAAUUUUGUUAGGUAAAAAAAAAAAAAAAAAAGUUGAACUACGUUAUGACUUGAUCCCUAUAUUAUAAAGGGUACGUAGGCAGCUUAAGGAAAACCUUAAGCCCAGUCCAGCAAAAAAAAAGUUGAACUACGUUAUGACUUGAUCCCUAUAUUAUAAAGGGUACGUAGGCAGCUUAAAGAAAACCUUAAGCCCAGUCCAGCAAAAAAAAAAAGUUGAACUAUGUUAUGACUUGAUCCCUAUAUUAUAAAAGGCAGCUUAAAGGAAACUUUAAGUUCAGUCCAAUAAAAAAAAAAGGAAGAAAGACAAAUUACAUUUAAUAGAAAAUAUGAUGAGGAGUGGAACAAUGAAAGAAUAAUUUUUUUUUUAUUAUUAUUAUAAACUUCUAGCAAAAAAAAAUUAAAAAGGCAUAAGUAGAUAAAUAAGAGAAAGCAGAGAAUCAUGGAGUCCAUUUAAAGUUCUUCAGCUCCUCUAGUGUGCUUUCUAAAGAUUCACGAAGUGUUGAUAGCAUUUUAGCAUCAAUAUCUCCAACGAUCGGGGCACAUUCGAGUUUGUCAAUUUCCUCACAAGUCUUCGAAAUCUCAUGUUGCUUCUGCUUCAGCUCCAGGUCGUUCUUAAAAAUUAUUCCAGAAAGUUUAGCAGACUCAACCCGCACCAUCUUUAGUUUUGCCUCUAGUUUAGCCUCCUUAGCGGACAGUCGUGUAAGACGACGUUUAGCAGUGUUGGUCUCUGCUAAUAUACGAUUCUCAUCAACUCGCAGAGUCUUCACAAAACCUUUUGCCUCCGUUAGCUGAACAUCCUUAGUUGAUUGGAGUGGAAAUGAGGAAUGUAUUUGAUUAUGGUUCUCGACACCUUGGAAGUAACCAUUCACAAGCUCCCUCAAAACAAUAAGGUUGUCGCUGCCGUUAGUCGCAAUCGCAUCAAAGAUCUUAUGCAUUUCUGGUUCAAGACUACUCAGUCGUUCAAAAGGGGUACGAAUGAUCUUCUGUCGUAGGUUUUCCCAUAAGGUUAUGGCAGCCUGUCGUCGGAGGUCAGAAAUUAAGCUGUCAGCACAAAAAUGAGAAAUCUCAGAAACUGUAAUAGGCUCUGUGCCUUCCACUUUUUGAGGAGGUCCCUUGAUCACAGGAGGACAAGCAGACACAAUAUUUGCGCCUAUAGGUUCCUUAGAGUUCCCAUUAUAAGAAAGUACAACGUUACAGUCUUCUAGAUUCAGCAUCAACUCUAGGGUAUCUUCGAUGUGUAGGUCAUGAUCACCUAAAGAAUACUACAAAAUAAUAUUAACAACAAGAAAUAAGGGGAGUAAAGGAGAGAAAAUACAAUCAAUAAAUAAAUAAAAUUGGGAGACGAAAAGAAACCAUGGGGGAAGGGACAUCGAAAAAUUGUGCAGCAUCAGGGACCCGAAUAGGAGACUCUUCAUCAUCGAUCGACUGUUUGUUAGGCUUCUUGGGUCUCUUCCAAUGGCGAUCAUCAUUGCUGCUUUGACUGUCCUCAAUACGUUUAGAAGGAUGCUUGGUAGCUAUCGAUAAGCGGUUGUCCUUACCCAUAUUGUCAAUACCACCUUUAAUAAGAUGUUUAAAUCGUGUAGAAAGAGACAAAUUAUCCACCAAGCGUUUUGUCCCUCCCUCAAUUUUCUCCACAAGUCGUUCAUCAGUUUCAUCGGAGCAUAUCUUCUGAUUUCCACUACCAAAAUUAUGUUCAAUCUUUUUUGUGGUUUUGGAUUUGAUGUGAGGGGGAGUAGGACGAUCUAUCAAAUGUUGUACUCCUUCUUGGAGGUAAUCACCGUGUUUUGCAAGCCACCAGACCUUAUAAUGAGAGGUAACAUGUGUGUCUGGAUUAGGGGCAGACACAGGAAGAUAUACUUGGGAAAGUGUAUUCUCGCGAAUACAAAUCAUCCAACAAUAUCGUACGUUAAAAAAAUUGGCUUCGGGAAUUUCUUCACCUAAGUCAUAUGGCACGUCUUGAUAAAAUCCAAAUGGUCGGCUAAAGCGACAAGGACUAUAAGGCUCAAUAACUGUGGAGGAUCCACAUUGCGAGGAUAGAAAACAAGAGCAAAUGCUUAUGAAAAAUGAAGCAUUCUAACUAAUUAACUCUCCAUCAUCCGUUAAGAGUUCGUCCUUAUUCUUUGUUGGAAGACACGCAUGCCAUGACACAUACUUUCCCUUGUGGAUAUGUGUUCGAGCCUCAAGAUUAGUAUAAUAUUUGGCCCCACCUUCACCAGAAAAUUCAACCAUGCGAGGACCCCUAAGACUCCUAGGGGCUUUAUAAUGAGUGUUGAAGUAAAGAGCAAGCCACCCAUGGACAUAGUGAAGAGGAAAACAGGCAUUUGAAUAACCAAGUGAUGAAGUAGAAUCAUGAACUUGGCGUAGGCCACUAUAAAUAUUAGCUAAAACAGGGACGGCAAGGCUAAAUGUGUAGCCUUCCGCCAUGAGGCUAGCAACCUUAAAAACCUCCGGACGAAGGGAAAGUUGCUUAUCAGGGAACACAAACACACAUAGCCAACAAGAGAGAAAUGCCGCUAGAUAGGUUUUGUCCCUAUGAUCAUCAGUGACGCUUAAGUCAAGGAACACUUUGAGUUCAGCUUUAGACCAGUCAGGACGUCUGAUGGGAAUUCCAUCUGGAUUAUGAGUUGAGCGAGGGCGAGAAGUCUUUUUAGGCUUUCGAGGAGGCGGUUUCGAAUACUUUACCUCAGAUCGUGUAACCCAAAAAGAGAUCCAUUCACUUACAGUGAUUUGAGAGUGAUCCAUGCGUUGAGAAACAAUGCGGUAAUAGGCUGCAAAUAAAUGCUCACAACUUCUUGGACAUACAUCAGGUGAUCCUAUUAAGUCUUGGUGGCAAGGAAUGCUUUCUUCAUAAAAUCUACCUUUAAUCGGGAGUCCUCCUAGUAUCCAUAAGUCCCAUAAGGAGAUGGACAUCUCACCAGCUGAGGUGUGAAGAGUGUUUGUUGAAGGACACCAUGCCUCGCAGAAAGCCCGAUCAAUGUCACUGUUGCGAUCAUAUGUAUAUAGGGAAGCCAUCACAGCAUUAAAUAGGGAGGCUCGCUUGAGUACUGCCGUAUUUCUAGCAACAACGAGCUCUAACCACUCCCAAUAAUGAGGAAGAUAGUAAAAUUCUCCAUGUACCUUGAGCACAUUUCCCCAACGAAUUUUUGGGUCGUUUAUAAUUCGACGACCCAACGUUGAUUCUGGAUCCUCAUUUGGAGGCUUGUUGUGAAUCGAAGACUCCAGAAACCAAGAUUUUAAAGAUGAAUUUGGAUUUACAAACCGUUCCUUGGACCAUUUAGGCAAAAAGAUAAAAUUGUCCUCGGGUAUUUGAGAGUCCAUAAUAUUCUCAUAUGUCCCCUCUCUCACAGGAAGAAUGAUCCCUUCCUCUAAAGAUUGAUCUACGUCCUUCAGGAUAAUUAAACACCUUUUGGUCGAGUCAGAAUACUCAGUGAAGUGCACCAUGAUGAAAAGAAGAGUUCCUGCAAAAUAAUAAUAAUAAUAAGAAGAAGAAGAAAUAGAAAAAAAAAAAAAAACCAAAACAAAAAAAAAAAAAAAAAAAAAAAAAAAAAAAAAAAAAAAAAAAAAAAAGAAAGAAGAAAAAAAAAAGAAAGAAAGAAGAAAAAAGGGGGGGGAAGAAAAAGCAAAUGGAGAUUGAAGCCCGACGAUGACAGAGUCGAUCUCUCCUACUAGGGCGAUAGAUCUGACGGCAAAAGCCCGAUCGUCCCUAGAAGAAGCUCAACAAAGUCAUUUCUGCAAACGAAGAUCGAAGCCCGACGAUGACAGAGUCGAUCUCUCCUACUAGGGCGAUAGAUCUGACGGCAAAAGCCCGAUCGUCCCUAGAAGAAGCUCAACAAAGUCAUUUCUGCAAACGAAGAUUGAAGCCCGACGAUGACAGAGUCGAUCUCUCCUACUAGGGCGAUAGAUCUGACGGCAAAAGCCCGAUCGUCCCUAGAAGAAGCUCAACAAAGUCAUUUCUGCAAACGAAGAUUGAAGCCCGACGAUGACAGAGUCGAUCUCUCUAACUAGGGCGAUAGAUCUGACGGCAAAAGCCCGAUCGUCCCUAGAAGAAGCUCAACAAAGUCAUUUCUGCAAACGAAGAUCGAAGCCCGACGAUGACAGAGUCGAUCUCUCCUACUAGGGCGAUAGAUCUGACGGCAAAAGCCCGAUCGUCCCUAGAAGAAGCUCAACAAAGUCAUUUCUGCAAACG